CUUGGACAACAACAUGGAUGGAUUCUACAUUGCCCCAGCUUUCAUGGACAAGCUUGUUGUUCACAUCACCAAGAACUUCAUGACCCUUCCUAACAUUAAGGUCUGUAUGUCACCUAUAACAUAUCUAGUGAAAUCUUUUUUUUUUUAAUAAAAUAGCAUUAAAUUUACCAAAUUUUACUACAAUUGUUUCUAUUACAGGUUCCUCUUAUCUUGGGUGUUUGGGGAGGCAAAGGUCAAGGAAAAUCUUUCCAAUGUGAGCUUGUCUUUGCCAAGAUGGGAAUCAAGUGAGUUCAUGUUUUUUUAGAUGCAAAUUCAAGGUCUUGAGUAUAUGGCGACGGGUGAAGUCAAAAAAUUUUGUGGGCUAUAGUUAAACUAUAAAUUUGAUGAAAUUUUAUUAUUGUAUUAACUUAAAAAUUUACUAGUUUUAAAAGGUUAAAUUAUAAAUUUUCUAUUUUUAGAAGGUUUAUAAUUUAAUUAUAAUUUUUUAGAAGCAAAAUGCAAUUAUUCUUUUGUGUUAACUUAAAAUUUUACAAUCGCUAGAUGAGCUAAACAAAAAUUUACCUUAGCUAAAAUAUUAAAUGUCAAUAACUUUAAUGAUUAAAAUGGAUAAAAGGUAUAAAAUUGAGGGUUAAUUUGGUUGGUUUUUUAAAAUUAGAGUCAAAAUUAAUGAAAUGUGUAAAUAAUUAGGGUCUAUUGUGCAAAUAGAAACAUGCUAAUGAAUUAAUAUAAUGAAUUAACAUCACAGCCCCAUUAUGAUGAGUGCCGGAGAAUUGGAAAGUGGGAACGCCGGAGAACCAGCCAAGUUGAUCAGGCAAAGGUACCGUGAGGCCGCCGACAUUAUCAAGAAAGGGAAAAUGUGUUGCCUCUUCAUCAACGAUCUCGACGCUGGAGCCGGUCGUAUGGGAGGAACCACACAAUACACAGUGAACAACCAAAUGGUGAACGCCACACUCAUGAACAUCGCUGAUAACCCCACCAACGUUCAGCUCCCCGGUAUGUACAACAAGGAAGAGAACCCUCGUGUUCCGAUCAUCGUCACCGGUAACGAUUUCUCGACGCUGUACGCGCCUCUCAUCCGUGACGGUCGUAUGGAGAAGUUUUACUGGGCACCCACCAGGGAAGAUAGGAUCGGUGUUUGCACAGGUAUUUUCAGGACCGACAAUGUUCCCGUUGAUGACCUUGUUAAGCUUGUUGACACCUUCCCGGGCCAAUCCAUUGGUAAGCUUCUCUUUCAACACUUUUUCAAUUCGUGGUCUCUAUACAAAGGUCUAAUUUUUGUUUUAGUCCCUCCACAAUGCUAAAAUUCAAAAGUUAAUCCUUCUAAUCUGGUGUGCUCGCAAGUUAUUCAAGUUUGACUUAAAAAUUCGAAUCUGAUUCAAUCAUUCUCGAGCAACUCAAGCUAUUGAGUAAGUCGAAUUCAAGUAUUUUAGUACUUGAGCCUAAUUUGUAUAUUUUAUGAAUUUAUUUUUAAUACUUUGAUGAUAAAUUACUAGUUCAUCUAAAAAAAUGGGUAUAUAGAACAAGGUCAAGCUUAAACUCGAGUUUGGCUAUACAAUUGUGUGUGAAUGAGCUUAAUUGACCUCAAGCUUAUAUAGUAGUAUUUGAUUUAGCUUGAGCUAAGUUUCAAGCAGUGAGUUCUAAAUUAAAUUUGAGCUUGAACUUCUCAGUAUAUGAGCUCAACUCAACUCGAUUACAAUCCUAUUAAUAGGUCCAAAUUGAUAGCAUCAUAUUCAAUCUACAAUAAAUUUACAUGUCAGCCAAAUCUUUAAGUCUAUUUAGAUAUUCUGAUAACAUUAUAAAAGUAGAGGUAUCGAAUUUUGUCAGAUUAAAUUAACCAUAAUUAAAUCCCAUAGGAAUUAUCAUUAACGGUGUAUUUGCAUGUGUGUGGUUCAAUUUGUAGACUUUUUCGGUGCUCUGAGGGCCAGAGUUUACGAUGACGAAGUGAGGAAAUGGAUCGGAGAGGUCGGAGUCAAUGGUGUCGGGAAAAAGCUCGUGAACUCGAGGGAAGGGCCACCAUCUUUCGAGCAACCGAAGAUGACCAUUGAGAAGCUGUUGGAAUAUGGAUACAUGCUUGUUGCUGAGCAAGAGAAUGUGAAGAGGGUUCAAUUGGCUGACAAAUAUUUGAGUGAAGCUGCCCUUGGAAAUGCUAAUGACGAUGCUAUCAAGAGAGGAGCUUUCUAAAUGGGAAAUUAAGCUCUAAGGGAAGAAAAAAAUCUAUAUUGGGCACAAACAAAGGAAAUCCCCCCUUUGUGUCUUAAUUGAAUGUUGUUUUCCUUUUGUGUUUUAAGUGGAUUUGCAUCCUCUAUUUUUGUGUUAUAAAAUCUCCACUUUGUUCUUGUCUUAAAUGUUUCACUUUAUUUGUUCCAAUCAACUUUUUUUUUUUACAUGAUUAGUUUUGAAUAAAAAAUUUCCUGUUAAAAGAUUGUGUUAUUUGAUAAAAAAAAUUGAAUUUUUUUAUAGGAAAAAUAAUUUUUUUUGGUUUCCAUUUCACGAAAAAAAAUUAUUUUAAUUUUUUAUUUAACUUUUUGCCUCUUUUUAUCUCUUGAACUUAUAUUUUUUUGUCAAAUCACCCAGAAAUUGAUAGAAAAGUUAAUGUUUGUUAACUUUGCUAACGUAGCAUACACGUAGAAUGUCACGGAGAUGACAUGUCAAUAUUUAAUUAAUUUUUUAAAAUUUUAAAAAUUAAUUAAAUGUUGAUGUGGCAUACACAUGGUAAGUUAACCAACUUUAAUUUCCAUCUAUUUUGAAGUGAUUUAAUAAAAAACGUAAGUUUAAGGGUUAAAAAAAGAUGAAAAAAAAUAAAUGGAGGGCUAACAUAACCAAAUAAGUCAUUAUGCCAUAAAAAUAUUAUGCGAAAACUGGAAUUGAGAGAAAAAAAGUUAGACCUAUUAUGUGAAAUAUUGUUUACUUCGUAUUUAUAUAUUAUGUCAUUUAAAUCACAUGAAAAUAAAUUUAUAAUAAUGUAUCGGAAAAAUUAAAAAAUUAUUUAAAAUUUUAAUAAAAAAUACUAAAUUAUUAAAUACUAAACUAAAAAUAGUAUAAAAAAUUUUUUUUAAAAAAAUGAAUGUAUUUAAAACAAGCUAAAGUUAAUUAUCUAAAAAAGCUUAAGUAGGUUAAAAUAAUGACACUAUUUUAUUUUAUAUACUUUACAAGCAAAAUCGAGAAGUUAAUUUUAAGGUAUAGUGAAAAAUUAAAUAUGUAAAAAAUAGAUAAUGAACUAUAAAGUGAGAUUACGUCCUUAAAUUAUCAAUGUUAUAUUAAUAAUGUCUAAGAAAAAUAGAUGUUGUAAAAAUUUAGUUUUAAGAUUUUCGGAGCUUUUAUGAAAGCUAUCGGCCACUCUUUUCUAUUCAAUUUUAUUUUUUUCAGUUUUUAAUUUUAAAAUUCAUGUCUCAAAAUUUAACUUUUCUUUAAACUUUAAUUUUAAAUUAUGCCAUUUUACAUGUAAUUUGAUUGUUAAAUUAACAGUUUCAAUAAUAAAUGGACCUUAUUGAUAUAGCAUCGAUAGUUUAGGGAUGUAAUUAAAAUGUUUUAAAGUUUGGGGAUUAAUUUAGAAUAAAUAUUGUAAUUUGAGGAUGUCUAGUGAAUUAACUCAAAAAUUAUUUUAAAUUAAAUUUAAAUAAAUAUUUUAUUAAUAAAAUAGAAUUCAAAUUAGUCAAAAUUUAGCCUUUUUGCUUCCUUUGGACUUAGAGAUAUAUAAUGGGCUAUUAUUGGCCCAUUUAGAAACCCUUGGGCUUUAGAGAGGAUAAUUUGUUUUAUUAUUGAAGCCCAAAAUAGUAUUUGUCCAUAAAUUUAGAAAUUUACAAAAAAAUACAUACAUAUUUUAAUUAAUUUUAAAAAUGUAAAUCCAACUGCAAACACAAUUAUUAUAUUUUUUAAAUUCAUUUUACAUUAUAAGUAUUAUAUUUUACUUGCAAUUAAUUUUUAAUUUCACAAAUAAAAUUAAAAAAAAUCCUUUUAAUAAAUUUUUAUUGUAUAAAAGAUAAAUGAGAAAGGGACUCGAUUCAUCUAGUAUACAAUGGUGAUGUGCAUGCUUGCAUCAUUGGCAUGACAUCACAUUAAGCAACCUCAUAUGAGGACUUAAUUGAAUAUAAAAUAUAAAUGGAAUAUUAUUAUUUAAAUUUGAAUUAAUUAAGUUAUUUGUUCAAUGCUUAAAAGUUUAUUACAAAAAGUCGAUUACGUUUUAACUGAAUUGGCAUGAGCAUUAUUGUUAAUAUAAGAGGACAUGGGUUUGAAUGCGUUGAAUCGUAUUAUCCUCCUAUUUAUAGGUUGGGGAGGGGCUAUAGAUAGUUCUAAGUAUUUAGUAAAAAAAUAAAUAUAAUCAGAACUUAUAAUAAGAUUACUGCAAAAUUGCAUUUAGUAAAUCUCAAAAUAUAUUUAAUUAUUUAAACCUUAAUUUAUUAUAAAUAAAAACAAAGUGAAUGAAUAUCCAAAUAUACGAAAAUUACACACCCAUCACAUCCCUACUAUAAAAAGAGAAAGUGAUGGCUUACCAAACGAUACGUGCAAUUAGGCUUACGAGUUUUGGUAAAAUUUUGCUUUAGGUCCCGAAAAGAAAUUGAUUUUUAUGGUUUGCAAAAUAAAAUCAUCAUUUCUUUCCAAGAAAGUCCUCUAUGGACUAUAUUAGAAGAGAGUGUCAUUUUGACACUUAACCUUAAAAGUUUUGUCGAAUUGCUUUUUGUUAGAUUAAAAAAAUUGAAUGAAUUGGUAAAAUGUUAACGUUAUUGAUAUGGCAGCUCGUGUGACAAUUCACACGUACUUUAUUGUUGACAUUGAUAAUUUUUUUAAAUUUUUUUAUGAUUUUUUAUGAAGUACAUGCCUAAUGAUGGUGGCCUUGCCCCCUUAAAAAGGAAAAGUUUUGUUUAAGUCCCUUUAAAACCAUAAAAUUGUAAUUUAAUAUCUUUUAGAAAUUAUAAAGUUAAAAACUUCCAAUGAAAAAAUUGCAAUUUCACUCUCAGUAAAUUUAUAAUUUAAUUUUGGCCACUCCAAAAAAUUUCCUAGCUUCGCCCCUUAUAUAGGGGUGAGUAAAAUCCAAUUUGAUUUUAAAAACUCGAUAAAAUAUUAAAAUUUUGAAUUAAAUAGUUCGAGUUAAUAGAGUUAUUUGGAUCAACUUGAAUAAAAAAUCAAAAUUUUCAAUUUAAAUCAAAUAUGAAUUGCACAAUUUGAGUUAUCCGAAAAUUCGAAUAAAAAAAGGCAAAACUAUUUCUAAAGUUAAAAGUCAAAACUGUGCCGUUUUAAUAAAUAUUUACCCGUUAAGUUAAAAGAUAAAACCAUUAUAUUAUUUAUUUAAUUAAAUAAUCUCGUAUUUUAUCUACUGAUUAAAUAAUAAAUUUAUGUAAACCUAAUAGUGAGUUAAAUAAUGGUUGGAUGGACGGUUAUGGAAAGACACUCAGCUUACAGUCAACUGAAAUAACAUGGAAUCUGCAGGCGGCGUGGUCCACGUUUAAAAUAACAUGGGGCCAGCACGCGGCAUGGGAUCAAAACAUGUAGACCCCACGUGGAUACAUUUUUUCUCUCGCUCUCGCUUUCUAUACUGUGCCCUACAGGAUCAUGAAUCUUCAUGCUACUUCUUCAUACAGUCUUUUAAUCAACCCAGGUGUCACAAGCUGGGUUGAUCUGUGGUGGACGGCAGAAAGUGGCUUGGGUUAAUGGUCCACCUCAAUUACACGUUUACCACAAAAAAGAGAAAAAGUACUAAGAAAAAAGAAAACCAUAAUGAAAUAUAAAUUUCUUUUAAUGCUUAAUCUCAAGAUCCGCCAUUAACGAUAAAUUAUGUUUUAGUUGAAAUGAUGAAAUAGAAAUAUACGGGUUUUUUUUGAUUUUAUAAAUAAUAUAAACAGAUUAAAAUAUACUUAUAAUAAUAUAAAUUAUUUUGUAAAAAUAUCUUUUUUUUAAGGUUUGUACUUGUCGUUUUUAAUAAUGUUGUCUCUAAAGUUUAAAUUUAUAUUUUCUCUUUGUGAGUGCAAUGUGUCUUACCGUAAUAUUUUUACUUGAAUUCGUAUUCGAUUAACUCAUUACACCAAUUUAAUUAAAAUUUGUAUUAUGGUAGACAUAAUAAUAACAUUAGAAGAAAGUUUUCAAAAGUUUUUAGCUACGAAUGUUUCAAAUAUAAAUUAUUACAAUUUAAAUGAUAGGAGAAGAACUAAAUAAAUGUAGUAUAAUCGUGUUAAAUAGAGACGAACUUAAAAAAUUAUUUUAAGAGGAUCGUAGAUGGAUCAUAAAUUAUUAUGGGUAAGGUAUAAUUUUAUCAUUAUAAAAAUAUAUAAGUGCAUGGGUUCUUUUUACAUGUUUAUUAAUUUUUUUUUGAAUAAUCUCAUUUUAGGUUCUGAUCAUAUAUGUUCCUUUUGACACAAUACUUAAAACUACCUAUAGUCUCCCCAACCCAUAAAUAAGAGGAUAAUACGUUUCAGCUCACUAAAACCCACAUCCUCCUGCAUCGGUACAAUCGAGUUAAAACACAAUCGGCAUAUGUAUAUUAAAUUUAAGUGAAGUGAUAUGGUUUAAUCUAAUCUAGAGUUUGUCUUUUGGACAAAUUUUUAAUAAUGAUGAUUUAACUUUUUGUGUGUGUGUUUAAUUUGAUUAAAUUAUUAAGUAACAUGGAUAUUUAAUUUAAUAAAUAAUUCCCAAAAGUUUGGUGAAGUAGCCACUAACAUGAUAGUAGAAGAAAGUGUAUUUUCUAAUACAACGUGUGUUUAUUUGACAUUUGGUGUUUGUAUUCAUUCCAUUGAUUAAAUUAAUACUUAAAACUUUAAAUAUAAAAUCCAUAAAAUGGUCAGACCAUGCAGGUAAUGGUUAAAAUAAUAGGGCAUUAGAUUAUGUUAUUUAAUUUUUACCUAAAAUUAUAUUGUUUUUCAUGCUUUGGUCAACAUUUGAUUUUUUUUAUAUUAGUAGUUUAUAUAUCUUAAUUUAAUAGGCAAUGUUAAAAAUUAUCAAAUAUCUCGUUUUUUAUUAAAUUAUUUUUUAAUAAAUUUUUUUGCAUAAGCUCGGAACGAACGGAGAUAGAAUCAGACUGAUUCCCUAAGUGCUUUUUUGGACGUUCUUCAAUGUCCUGGCUAUUCACGGAAUGUGGGAAAUGGAUGAAUAAUCAUCUGCUUCCGGAAGAAAUUGAAGGAUUUCUUGGGAAUCCUACAAGAUCCAUUCGUUCUUUUUUUCUCUAAUAGAUGGUCAGAACUUCAUCUGGGUUCGAAUCCUACUGAGAGGUCCACUAGAAAUCAGAAAUUGUUGAAGAAAGAAUAAGAUGUUUCUCUUGUCCCUUCUAGGCGAUCAAAAAAUAAAGAAAUAGUUGAUAUGGUUCCGAAAGAUGAACUGGGCAGUUCCAAUAAGAUUUCAUUCUUGAACAAAAAUGGAACCAAACUGGAUCUAGUGUAUUUUAAGGGAUUUGCCUUUUCUAUUGAUUCCUACGGAUUGAAUUUUUUUUUGAAUAAGCUCAUUAUAAGUUCUGAUCAUAUCUGCCUUUUUGAUACAAUGUUUAGAACUACUCAUAGUCCAUCCCCAACCUAUAAAUAGGAGGAUAAUGUGCUUUAGCGCACUCGAACCCAUGUCCUCAUGUAUUGGUAACAAUACCCAUGCCAAUUGAGUUAUAAUUCAAGCGACAUUUUUUAGUAUUUUAUUAAAUAUUUAUUUAUUAAAUUAUUUUUAGUAUUUUAAAAAAUAUAUAUUUUACCUUAAAAAUAAAAAUAAAAUUUUAUAUUUCAAAUUUGCUAUUUGUUAAUAUUAAUAAAGCUUAAAUAUGCAUUUGGUUGGAAAACUUUGAUGAGGAUAGUGGAUGAAAAGUAUGUUUGGGUAUUAAGUUAUGAUAAAAAUAAAUAAAAAUAUAAGAAUCAAAUUGAUAAAAGAAAUCAAGUUCUUAGACUAAAUGCAUAAUUGACCAUAUUAAUAUCUACCUAUUGAAAUUUAAACUUUUAAUGGAGAGGUUAAUUAAAGAAACACCAAUUUAAAAAAAACAAUUAGGGAUUUAGGUUUUUUUUUUCUAAAUUUAAGGAAAUAGGUCAAUUUUGGAGAGAGAAAUAGAAAACACGUCUUGCAAUGCUUCCUGCAAGACAUGUUUUCUGUCUUUUUUAAAAUAUAUAUUUUUGUUGGGUGUUGAAAAUUUUGGGAGAAAAUUUAUUUGUGUUAGUGUUUGAGUUUGACAUUGUGAUAGUUUUAAGGUAUGUUUAAGUUUACGGUGAUGCGAUAGUGCUUGGAGACCCACACAUUUUAUCUGUUAGUGGGGAUAGAAUCAUCACUUUAGAAUCCCAUCGAAUUGCAACUCAGGCUCUUAGUUCACGGUGGUUAUAUGGUCGUGGGUUAAAGUAUAAGUCGGGCCCCCAGUAGAUGGUGGUUAUGUGGUCACGGGUUCAAGUUUUAUAAUACUGAAAGAAAAUACUUUAUAAACCUCAUACAUAAGUUUGAGAUCAUAAUCAUAGGGGGAAAAAUGACUUUCAAAUAUAAUCAACUUAUUCUUUUUCUCCAUCUCCACCAAAGGUAAUAUCCUUAACCUCAUUGUCUAUAAUUUGUGACAGAGUUGGGAGCAAGAAGGCUUUUAGGGGGAGGAGUGAUUGCGAUGGUGGAGAAUAAGUUGAAACUCGAGUCGAGUCGAGUCGAGUCGAGGCGGUAGUGGUUGUAGUUAUUAAUGAGUUCUUUAAUCAUACAAAUCACAUACAAAACAAUACAAAAAUUAUUUUUUUCUUAAAUUGUAAAUAAGUAUAUUAUUAAUGUAAAAUAGAAUAGAACAACUUUUUUAUUAUAUAAUUGGAAUAAGUAAUUAUGGAUGGAAAAAUUCAAUAUAAUACAAAUUAAAAUUUAAUAAAGCAAAUGAUGAUUUACAUGACAAAAAUUUAAAUAAAAUAUUCAUCGGCAUCGCCGGCCCGAAUGUGUGCCACAACUUGGUAGGUGUCGGUUACGAGAAGGAUUUCGUUAUAGUUGGAGUUUCAACUCCUCAUAUUCUUCAUCUUUACUUCGACCUCCAUGUUGAUCUCCAUCUUCAUCUUCAUCUCCUUCUUCCGUGCUAGAGUGCAUUUGGAUCCUAGGUUCCCAUCGUAUAUCGCUCGUUGUAUUAAUAGGUGGUUGCAAAAAUGACCCACCUCUAUAGAACAGUGAUGUUGAAGGUGUUUGCAACACUACCAGUGGAUAAGUGUAUUGUGUCGCAUAAUCCGAUUGUGAAUAGAAUGUUGGAAUUGUCGGUAAUGGUAGAUACAUCGGUGUUGUUUUCGGCAUUGGCGUGUAAUAUGGUCCUAGGAUGGUUGUAGUGCAAAAAAUAUACAUAGAGAAGGUUUUAAUGCAUAGUAUGAUGGUGUAUAAUGUGGUGCUUGUGUAAAAAAAAAAACGGGGUAGUGAAAUUACAAAAAAAUAUGAACCAUAUUGAUCGGGAGGUUGCGCACCCAUCGGUGCCUCAUGUGGGGUUGGAGUUGAUGAUGAUUCCAUCGAGGCAUGUACUCCCGACCUAGGAUUCAUGCAGGGUCGUCUUGGCUGCCUACAACGAUAUUGUUUGCUCCUUUCCUCCUCUAGCAGUAGAUAUAACUUACUAUGAAGUCUAAACCAUGUCAUGUAAUUCGGAGAGGUCGCCAAAUCUGGUGGGGGAAUUGGUUUGCGCAUAGGUAUGAAAUCGUAACUAUACUCCUAAAUGUAGAUAUAUUUGGCAUGGAAUUUCAGCCAAUCUUCAUUGGUUUUUCCCUGUAAGUCGAUAUUAUGUUAUUCAUCGAGAUCCUGGGGUGACAGUGGAUUAAUUUGCUUAAACCUAAACUAGCACAUCACUCGAUUGAAUUCGUGCAUUUUGACAGUUUAACAACCUAUCAAUGACACUUUGACAAGCCAAAUAUUGCGAUUGGCCAAAAAUUCUGCCAGGAUGCAUUCUUGAAUUCUUGGAUCAGAGUAUGACAUCUAUUCAAACUAUAGUAUGAAAUUAUAAAUUUUAUUAUGGACCUAAUAUUAAAUUUCAAAUUCUUACGUAAAUAUUAUAUAAUUUAAAAUUCAAAAAACUAACCUCGGCUUCAAAUCAUUGAUCUAACAAUAACCGGAUAUCUUCGAGCUUGUCUGGUAUACCUACAUGACUCGUGUCAUUCUUCCAUCUAUUUAAAUAAUAUUCUAUUCAAAAAAUAUAAUAGUGAAAAAAAUAUUAUGAUACUUAUAUUAUCAAAUGAAUUUUACCUUAUUACGAGUAAGAAUUCAUAAGGGGUGUUUACUCGAGACAUAAAAAUGAUAGCCAGUACCAUGUACAUGAUUGAAGGACUAUGCAACCAUCGAUUUUAAUUUUUUGUGAUUUCAUUGCUCGACACAUCUCUUGGUACAGUGUCGCCAACACAGUUGAUCCCCAACUGAGUCAUCCCGCUUCUUUCAAGUCGACUAGUUGUAGUAGCCACCUUAAAUGUAUUAGAUUUCAAGAUUUAUCAGGCAUUAGAAGCCUCCCUAUUAACCUUAGGAUGAAUGCUCCUGCAUAUUGUUCUCUUUCAACUACACUCAUAGAGUUGUCGAUAUAAUUGAAAUUGUCUUCUAACCAUUUCAUCUCUAUCAAACUACCACUAAACUUGUCCAAUACAUUUCCUAAUAGUUGCUCGUAAAUCGUGCUCCAAUCGCCAAUGCCCACUACCCACAUAACGACUGUCUCAUCCACUGGUAAACCAAGUUGUUAUCCAACGUCCUCAAGUGUAAUUGUACACUCACCGCACAGAAGAUGGAAUAUGUGUCUCGGGUCUCCAUCUUUUCACCAAAACACUGAUAAGUGUGAGAUCCAAUUUAGUCCCCCCGAGCAUACGAGACACGUGCAAGAAUCCCUCCUCUUGCAAGUGUUGUUCAAUAAUACGCGGUGCCCUUUCACUUAAAUUGUGUAUGUACGUCUCCAUAAUAUGAUAUUAGUCUGAUUAUAUAAACAUAAAAAGAUGAUAAAAUUAAUAGCGUUAACAACUUAAUAAUUGAAUUAGUUAAAAUAAAAAAAAUUAAUAAUAUUUUCUUAACAUUUGCAAUUGAAUGUCGGAAAUGUACUUACCAUCUAAACGAAUAAGUGACAUUAACAUUUUUAAAAUUAUAAAAUUAAAUAAAAUCAAAGAAAUUAGAAAAUAUAAAAUUAAAACAAGAAGGAUUUGAAAGAAAUUAAAUGAAAAAUUAAGAACUAAAUAAUUAAAAAAAUUUACAGAUUAAAAUUUGAAUGCAAAUGAUAGAAAAUGAGUUAAGGGUCCUUUUGUUUACAUGUAAAAGGUUUUACGGAAAAUAUUUUUCGUAUUUUCCUGUGUUUGUUUCACAAAAAACAGCUUGGUCAGCUAAAAAUAACUUACAGGUCAACGGAAAAUAAGCAUUUUUCAUUGUAAAAUGACUUACCAUUUUGAAAAGCGUAAGUCAUUUUCCGAAGAAGAGCUCAUCAAUAGAUUAUUUUACUUUUAUAUAAGAAUUAACUUAAAUCAAGUUUAAUAUUAUUAUAUUGAUAAUAAAUUUUAUUUUUAAAAAUAUUUAAAAUAUUAAUAUAAAAUAUUAUAUUUUUAAUAUUAUUAAACAUACGUAUUUAAUUAUUUAUAUUUAGUUAUAUAAUAAAUUAUUUAUAUAAUUAAUAUAAUUUAUUAUUUUUAAUAAAUUAUUUAAUAUUUAAAUUUUAUUUUAAUAGUAAGUUUAAAAAAAUAAUUUUAAAUAAUAUUAUUCACAUGUUAUUGAAAAUAUCAAUAUUAAUAUUUUAAUACUAAAUAUUUAUUAUAAUUAUAAAUAUAUUAAUAAUAAAUGUUUUGUAGUAUAAAAGUUAAAAUAUGUCAUAAGUCUAUAUACUCUUCACAAAUUUACAAUUUAGUUUCUGUACUUUUAUUUUUAAGAAUUUAGUCCCUCUACUUUCUAGAUUUGAAAAUCAAGUCCAACUGCUGACAUUGUUGAUUUUUUUUGUCAAUUUUGUUAAUGUCACAUUUUUAAAUAAAAAAUACUCAGUUGGUAGUCAUGUAACUAAAAAAUGAUCAUUGCAAUGAACUUAAAUUGAACAAAAUAUUUUUAAUAUAUGUAAAAACAAUGUAAAAUAUAAAAUUAUGGAUAUAAAAUAAACUCAAUUAAACAAUGAAAAAAUAAAAAAAAUCUCAUAUGUAUGUUUAUUUAAUUGAAAACGACUUUUAUGAAAUAUUUUUAAAGAAUCUGCCAAACAAAAAAAAUAUUUUAUACAGAUUUAUCUAAACACUAAAAAAUAUUAUUUUUUUCAAAAAAGUAAGUUAUUUUUUAGAAACCAUUUUUCAGAAGCCUGUAAAGUAAAUAAACUAGUUGACAUUAACUAUUAGAGUGACCAUUAGAUGAAAACGCGUCUAAGAUUUUCGGCGAUAUUCAUGUGAAAAGGUGAAAGAUUCAUCAAACUCUAUGUUAAUUUCACUCAAGAAGUAGAAUUGCAUCAUUUCUAAAGGUUUGAAUUUCCUCGUAAUUCCCUGUAAAUCCUCACCUGAGUUCAUACACCAGUAAUUAGUCCUUUAAUUCCCACCUUAGCUAUAAAUCUCUCUUUAGCUCUCCUUUCUAUUCUCAUUUUCUUCAACCCCAAAAAGCAAAAAUUUCAAUCCCAAUUCCCCUUUGCAUGGCAAAGGAGUUGUUUUUUUUCUGGGUUUCUCUUGUUUUUUCAUCAAACCCAGUUUUUUCUCACUUCAUCUUCAAUGGGUUUCAUGAUUCAGGCGACCAAAUGAGCUUAAAUGGAGUUGCAGGCAUUACAAAGAGUGGGUUACUCCGUUUAACCAAUAUUACCCAAGAUGCAAUUGGCAGAGCUUUUUACUCAUCUCCUUUUCAGUUCAAGAACUCCAGCAAUGGCAAAGCUUUUUCUUUUUCAACAGCUUUUGCUUUCGCCAUGGCUCCUGCGUACCCAACCCUUGGUGGCGGCCAUGGCCUUGCUUUUGUUCUUUCUCCUUCAAAACAAAUUGCAGGUUAUCACAGUCAAUAUCUAGGCUUGCAUAAUCCAAGUGAUCAUCAUGGGAAUAAUUCAAGUAACCAUGUUUUUGCAGUAGAGUUUGAUACUUGGAGAAAUCUAGAGUUUGGUGAUAAAGAUGACAAUCAUGUUGGCAUUGAUUUGAGUAGCAUGCAUUCAAAUGCUUCAGCAACUGCUGGAUAUUUCCUUGAGAACUCAACAAUGCAAAAGUUGAAUCUCAAUAGUGGGAAAGUGAUUCAAGCUUGGAUUGAUUAUGAUUCAGCUAUAAAUCGAUUAGAGGUUAAGCUUUCAACUUUAUCUAAGAAACCCAAAAAAUCAAUCUUGUCCUUUGGUGUUGAUCUCUCACCAUUUCUCCAUGAUUCCAUGUUUGUGGGGUUUUCAGCUUCAACAGGUAAGCUUGCAAGCUCUCACUACAUCUUGGGAUGGAGUUUUAACAUGAGUGGAGAGGCUGAAUCUUUGUCUUUACCUUCUUUACCUUCACUUCCAAGGCCUAAACAAAACUACACUGCCUUAAUCCUAUGUGUCAUAUUUCCAGCUGUUCUUUUAAUGAUAUCACUUGCUUUCAUCUCGUUUUACCUUGUUAGGAACAUGAAGAAUUUAGACAUGAUUGAGGCUAAGGACCUUGAGAUUGGUCCUCAAAGGUUUUCUUAUCAAGAACUCAAGAAAGCAACAAAGGGUUUCAAAGACAAAGAGCUACUUGGUUUUGGUGGAUUUGGCAGAGUUUACAAAGGAACUCUGCCAACCACAAACACUCAAGUUGCUGUCAAACGAAUCUCUCAUGAAUCAAAGCAAGGGAUAAGAGAAUUCCUGUCUGAGAUUUAUAGUAUCGGUCGACUUCGCCAUAGAAAUCUUGUUCAGUUUCUAGGAUGGUGUCAAUGCAGAGGUGAUCUCUUAUUAGUCUAUGAUUUUAUGCCUUGUGGUAGCUUGGAUAAGUACCUGUUUGAUGAGCCAAAACAAGUUCUAAGUUGGGAACAUAGGUUCAAGAUCAUCAAAGGUGUGGCUUCAGGUCUUUUGUAUUUGCAUGAAGAAUGGGAACAAACUGUAAUUCAUAGAGACAUCAAGGCAGGCAAUAUUCUGCUAGAUUCUGAGCUAAAUGGAAGACUUGGUGACUUUGGUUUAGCCAAGUUAUAUGACCACGGCUCGAACCCGGGCUCGACCACGGUGGUUGGCACAUUUGGGUACUUGGCACCUGAGCUUCCAAGAACUGGUAAGCCUAGUACAAGUACUGAUGUGUUUGCAUUUGGUGCACUUUUGCUUGAAGUGGCAUGUGGGAGGAGACCUAUUGACCCAAAGGCAUUGCCUGAGGAGCUGAUCUUGGUGGAGUGGGUGUAUGAGAAGUGGCAAAGUGGGGCAGUUCUUGAAGUUGUGGAUUCAAAAUUGAAAGGCGACUUUGAUGAGUGUGAGGCUAUUCUUGUGAUUAAACUGGGCUUGAUGUGUUCCAAUGAAGUGCCAGAGGCGAGGCCUACAAUGAAGCAAGUUGUAAGGUACUUGGAGGGGGAAGUGGCACUGCCGAAACUGGUGCCAUCACCUGGUGGAUAUGGUAGAAACGAGGGCAAUCGAAGUGACAGUAUCGCGUUCGAAGAUUAUGUGCAUUCGUAUCGAAAUUCAUCGUCCGCAUGCUCAUCGGCUUUUGAAAACCAGGACAUAGAUGUUGAAGCAGGUUUAACAACACAUAUCAAUCUCAGCAGAGGAAAUGGCAGAUAGCCAUUGAAGAGCAAGACAGAGUUCUUUGCCUUUUUAGGAAUGUUUUUAGAGAAAUGCUUUUUUUUCCUUCUCUUCAAGGAUUGUUAAAAGGAUUAUAUUUUUGUAUUAUGUUCAAAGAAAUGUUUUGUAAAAAAGGGUAAAAACAAAAACUGUAAUUGCAAUAGUGCUUCGACCUGUGAUUACAAUUUUAACUACGAAAUAAAUAAAAAUACUUUCUUACAAUACAACUAAUGAUUCAAGUCUUAGCACUUGCAACCUCACCAUUAUACAAAAAUUACAUCACUCUCCCACUAGCUUAUCCUUCGCAAGCUUAGCUUGCUUACAAAAACAAUACACAUAUACACAUCCCUCACAUGAAUAAAGUUGUGCUCUAUAAAAUGUGACUUUACUUGUUCCGCAAGUAACUUGACUUAAUCAUCAAGAAACUUCAAAUCUUUAAUUUUAAUUUAAUUGGUCUUUACUCAUCCAAAAUCAUAAAAGAUAAAUAGUCAAAUGCUUUUGUUCUAAAAUUUAAAACUUAAUUGGUCUAAUUUUGGUUUUAAGUCCCUCCACAAUGCUAAAACUUGAAAUUUAUUUUUUCUCCUUUAAUUUGACAUAAUUCCGUCCCUACUCUCUUUAUUUUUUGAAUUGCUAAUUUUCCGUUAUUUCAUUAACAUUUUCUGUUAAUUCUAUUUGAAAAUCCAAGCAUAAUCAUAAAUUUACCCCUUAAUUCUUAUAACUUUGGUUGCCUCCAUAUUUUUUCUUUUAUAAAUCAGUCCUCAAUCUUUUAUUUUUGUAGUUGAACAAGAAAAAAAGCAUUUAGUUUUUGUAAAAUUGAACAAAUUCCACAACAAUUUAGUGGAAUCCCUAAACAUUACACUAGAUGCUGAUAUGACAACUCGUGUUUUAUGUUGAAAAUUUAAAAAUUAUAAAAAAAAUUAAAAAAAUUGUUUUAUUUUAAUUUUAAACAUUAAGCAUAUUUUAAUUUCCCGCUAAUUCUGCUUGUGGAAACUAAAAACUUUUUACGUUCAUUAAUAUUCAAAGCUAAUAAUUCCAAUUGAUUAAAAGUUUAACUUUAAAAUGUUAUUCCUUUAAAUUAUGUUCUUUCAAUACCAAUUAAGUACGUAUAUUACACUCUCAUACAAACCUUUUCAACAUUUAAUCUUUAUUUAAACAUCGAUCUCUCAAGUUAAAAGGCUUAAUGCAUAUUUUAGUUCCUAAAAUAUAUUGGACUUUUUUAACUUUGGUUAUUAAAGUUUUUCUUAUCCAUUUCAGUCCCUAAUAUUAUCAGAUUUUUCUAGUUUAGUCCUUUGAACUCGACUAAAAUAUCUAACCAAUCAUAUACUGCUACAUGUCAUACAAUGUCAUCCGAAAAAGCAUUAAAAAUCUUUAAAAAUGAAAAAGUACAAAAAUUAAAAGAAGUUACAAAAUUAUUAAAAAUUGAAAAAAAUUAUAAAAUUACAAAAAAUUAUAUAAAUAAUUACUUAAAUUACUAAAUUUUUUUAAAAAAGUAGAAAUUUUAAUAUUUUUAAAAUUAUAUGAACCACAUUUCCUAGAGUAUGAGGUUAUUGUCUCUUGGAAGGAUAUCGCAUAUGAUAAUUAUCUUACGAUUCAAACAAUCAAAAUUUGGAUUUUUUUCAAAUUAUUUAAAUAAAAAAAUAGUAUUUAUUAUUUAAAUGAUCGUUCAAUUUCUAGUAACUGUGAUUUAUAAAAUUUUAAAAAUAUUAAAUAUAUUUUUUAAAACUUUUAAUAAAUUUUUAUAUUGUUUUUGUAAAUUUUUAAAGAUUUUUUACGAUUUUCGAAUGAUAACGUGGUAGCAUAUGAUUGACUAAAUAUUCUAGUAAUUAGUUUUUAAUGUCCAAAGGUCUAAAUUGGGAAUAUCUAAUAAUAUUAGAGACCGAAGUAAGCUAAGAAAACUUUAAAAACUAAUAUAUAUAUAUUUUAAAGACUAAAUUGUGCAUUAAGCCAAAUUUAAACAUUUUUCUUAAUCUCUAUCUAGCAAUUACAGAAAAUAGAUAUUAUACUUCCAUAUAGAAAAUUUAACAAAUCUUUGCUACUGAGUAGACCACAAUUGUUAAUUUCUUUUUGAAAAAUGAAAUUCGUUCAAUAUUUUUUAAAUUUGAUUAUCGGCUGGGUUUGGACUACGAAAAAUUAGUUUAAAAUUUUAUCUAAACUCAGCUCAGAUUAAAAAUGCUAAACUCGAACUCGAUCUGACUCGCCCGUAUUAAAUUCUGUUAGAUUAUUUUUUAUAUAAAAAUAAAUUUAAACAAUAUAAUACAUUAAAUACAUUAAGAACAUUAAAAUAAAUGUUUCCCAACAAAUUGAAAAUACAGAAAUCUUCAUACUUAAAUAACAAUAAGAUAGUUGUAGCUUAACAAGCAAAUACCUCUAAAAUAGUAGCAAAAUUAACAAUAAAACAAUAGUUAUACAAUAUCCAAACAAUAACAACAAAAUAGUAACAAUAUAAUAAUGAAAUGGUAGCAAAACAAUAACAAAAUAACUGAUUCGGGCCGAACCCAAACCAAAAAAUUCUACCCGAUGCUUGACCCAUUUAGAAAAUAGACAUUAUUUUUUGUCUCAACCCUUUUUUUCAAGCCUAUCUAAAGUUUUCAAACACUUCACAUUUUUUCCACUAUUAUUCCUAUCUAAAGUUUUCAAGGCUGCCAUUUUGACAACAUCAUUGCUUUCAGCAAAACCUCUCAAGUUUCCUAGUUUAACAAGAAGUACCUUUUGUAGACGAAGAAAACCUCGAGCCAGAGCAAGUGGAAAGACAUAUUUUAGAUUUGGGCAUUCUUUUAUCUCCAUAUUUUUCAAGUUCGGCAAAUAAAGUGUGUUGGAUUCAGCAUUACUUUCCACCUCCAUGAAAACUCUUUUCAGUUCAUUGCAACCAACUAUCUUGAGUUCUUCCAGUACUAUUAGGCUUCGAACAAUGGAUAUUGAGAAGAGAGAUUCCAAUUUCUCCCAGCUUAUUAUUUCUAAAACCUUUAGACAUUCGAGGUCGACACAAUGGGUGGGGCUUUUUACUAUCCAUCUCAAGUCUGGUAAAGACGAUAACUCCAAAAGCUCCAAAUUUGAGAGUAGUGGUGCUGCGUUAUUUGCUUCAUCAACUCGGAAUAUCUCAGACAUGCAGGCGAAUUAACACUCAAUUAUUUGAGACCCAUCAUUGUUUUUGAUGUAUCAACCAAGCAUUCACCACCCUCUCAAUUGAGAAUUUUAAGGGAAAUUAAUUCAUCUAGAAUUUUAAGGCUGAUCCUUGUGUUACAAGGUUAGAACUUAAAUCUAGCAAACCGUGCGACCUUAAGCUGAUUUGAGGUAAUUUUUUUGCUUCAAAUUCGCUUAAGUUAACUUAACUAUAAAAAAUAAGAAUUUUUAAAUUAAGAAUUCUUUAACCAAAUAAAGCAAUUCAACAAAUGUUUGAGUAAAUGUUCUCAAUAUAUUUUUUAACUCAAAAAAUAAAGUGGGAAAUGUCUCUAUUUAUGGUUGAGUUUUCCCAAAUCCAACGGUACAAAUUAAAUUAUAUUAACAGUUGAGAUUAAUGCCUAUUACAAAUGAGAACAUUACAUGUAUAAAACUUGCUUGGUAGGCAGCUUUGAAAACAUUACAUGUAUAAAACUUAACUAAACCAGGCACAGAUUCAAUUAAAUAACUAGGAAAGGAGAAAAAGAAAGCACCUUGAGGAUAGCCUUCUCAUCUUUUAAAUGAACAAAUGAAUCAGUUAAUAGAGGGCAGGCCGACACUGAAAACUCCGUCAAUGGUUUCGGAAACUGCACGGGUCGGGGCGCGUCCCUUCCUUCAUUGCAUCUGACCACUUGCUUCAAUUGAGGGCAAUCAUGAAUAGGAAGAUUUUCAAGCUCCGGAAGCUCUUGUGGCGCCAUCAAAGCCGGAAAAAUAUACUCCAAACCAUCACACUUUACUAUGUAGAGUUCUCGUAACUUUGGGAAACACAAAGAAUCAUGAGGAUCGACGCUCGAUGAUAUUUCUCCUUCAUCAUCUUCCAAUUCUGUGACAAUUUGCUUCAAUCCAUGACAGUCAGAUAUCUCAAGGAUUUCUAAGAGCAUCAAACUUUAAGCAAGACAAAGUGGAAAGAGUGAGUUCAAACUUGGGCAAUUAUCUUAUCCUCAGUUCAACUAAACCUUCCUUUCUUGGCCUUUGGCCCAAGUUAAAGAGAUUAUCCGGGGUCGUUUAAGGAGGAAGACCAAUUAAUAGAAUUGAUCCCGUUAAUGGUUCACUUUAUGUUUCUUGCGAUAUUAUUGAUUAAUUUAUUUAUAUAACUUCAAAGUUAUUUUUUAGUAUUUUUAUGUUCUUUUGUAGCAGUUUAAUUGCCUUUUUGGAUUAAUGAAUUUCAUCAUUCAUUCAAAAAAAUUAAUUUUCAAAUAUUUUAUUUCAAUUUAAUUAUAUCAAUAUAUAAAUAUUGAUAUAAAAAUAUAUUUUAUUAUUUUUAAAAUCAAACCUCGAUCCAGUUUGAUUUAUGAACACUUCUAAUUUUUACUAGUGAGGAGAUAUAUGAGUUAAAUCAAUAAGACAUUAAUGUUUGUUUGUAUCUAUAUUAUAUAUAAAAUAGCUGAGUGAGUUGGUGUCAUGAGUGAACACGAUACCAAUUUAGUUGUGAGAUAUUAAAUACCCUUACUUUUAAAGGCAAUUAAUAUUAUUAUAAAUGUAUUUUUACCUUUCAAUACUUUUAUACAAAAUCUUAAAUAAAACAACUGAAAAAUACUAUUUGAAAAUUAAACAGAAGUCCAACAAUUUUAAAUUGAAAUCUCUUACAGCUACACCAAUAAUCAUUUGUUAAAAUAAUUUAUUAUUUUUUAAUAUAAAAUAUUUUUAUUCACCCAUAUAGUUUAGAACCAAUGUAUCCGGUAAUAAAAAAAAAACAGAUUUUAGCUUAUAAGCAGUUCUUGAAGCUGUGGAUCCAAAAUUGAAUGGUGAAUUUGUUGUGCCUGAGGCAGUUCUUGUGAUCAAACUCCGGUUGAUGUGUUCCAACGAUGCGCCCGAGGAAAGACCUAGUUGGUGGGGGAGUGGCACCACCACAACCAGUGCCAUCACCUGGUGGACAUGGUGGCAAACAUAUCGAGCUCAUCAUUUGAAAUUUUCGUCCAAAACAAUGUUCGACAAAUUUUCACAAUAACUAAUAUCGUAUAAUCAAUUGUUUAGGCUUUUUUUUUUCGCAUUUUUAAUCUAAAUCACAUCAAUCAUUGAAUCAUUGCUUUAUUGAGAAUGCUAACGGGAAAUUUGUCAACUUGUCUUUCUUUUUUAUUUUUCAAACUAGCUGAGACCCCAUUAAAGUGUCUCUUGUCAAAUUAUUUAUGGGACAUAAAGUGAAAGAAUCUUAUGCUCAAAAGCAACAAUAGUAACGUGGAGAUCACAUGAUUGGUACCUUUGAAAUCAAACUCUAUAUCUUUUGUAGUGAGAAUUAUGAUAUACAUUGACCCCCCCACUAUCUCAUGUUGGAAAAAAAGAAAGUGUAUGAUAAUUAACAGCUUUUGAAAUAUAUAAUCAUCAUUUAUGUGAUCAUAAAACUCUUGAUUAUGCUUUGAUUUGCAUAAGUUUCAAGCUCUUGGGAAGGAGUGGCAAUCAUGAUUUAUUAUGUUACUCGAAUUCCACAGAUUGUUUAUGUGAAUACGUAGUGUAAAUAUUCGGAUUUUCAUAUUUGUGAAUGUACGGAAUAUAAAUAAGUUUUUAGUAAAGUAAAACAGUAUAAGUGAGACAAGCGAACAAAUUAGAAUUCGUCAGAAGUAACUCUCUAAUCGAAGACGGAAGUUCCUCCAAUAGAUGAAAUUUCAAUAACUUUGGAUCUUCAAUUUUGGCCAAAAUAUCUGCCAUUGUAUUUUGCGCCCGAGGAAUAUGUUUGAUACGAACCUCCCAAGAUCAAAUAAGCAUGUGAUGUAUCAAUCGAAGUUCCGUCAACCUGCUAUUUGCAGCACCGCCAACAAGAAUAAUCUCAAUCAACAAAGCGGUAUCACACUCCAAUUCCAACUUCUGAAAUCCUUUGUUUCAUGCUAAGUGAAGCCCUUCAAGCAUCGCCCUUGCUUCAACCUGAAAUACUGUACCUUCUACAAUCGACAUUGAAAAACCACAUUGCCACAACCCAUUAACAUCUCUAAUAACACCUCCAACAGAGGCACAAGCCCUUGAAGAGAACACAACACCAUUAGUAUUAAAUUUAACAUAACCCUCUUCAGGAGGUGACCAUUGUGAACCUAUUACCCGAGGAUGAGAAUGAAAACGUAUCUGUAUGCUCGAGGUUGCAUAAGUUUUAUGGAAGAUAGUAGAUGAAACUAUAGCAGUCAUGAUUUAUUAUGUUACUUGAAUUCAAUCUAAUUGUUUACAAAAGUGUAAAACAUGAGAACGAAUGUGUUCGAUUUAAAGAAUGGGUUUUCAAAUUCAUGUAUGACAAACAAAUGUUGGGUGUAAUGGUAAGGUACAUUGUAGUCCCAAAAGGAGAUAAAUUCAAAUUUUGGAGAUGACAUUAUUGGAGGGGCAAUCACGAAACUCGAAUAUGGACAGUUAAACGGACAUAAAAAUUGAGAUUAACUAAAUGUAUCCAAAUAUUCGAUUUAAAUAAAUUUAAAGAUUUUGGAAGAAAUUAUACCAAUCAUACUCAAAUUGAGUAUUGAUUUUUUUUUCAAAUUUUGGUAUGUGAAACAUGAAUAUUUAAAGAAAAUGAAAAAUGGAGCUAAUAAAAAAGUAACUAUAUCUUUAGCGGUUUAAAUCUUCUUUUAAUAGCGAAAAAGUGGCAGACCACUCUUUAACAUGUAGUUACUCUUUAAACCUUAGCAAAAGACCAGCAAGCAGUUUCACUUUCAUUCAUCAAAUUUCAAAAAACAAAAUGCCAAAAUCUUCAAAUCAUUUUAUCUUCUUGUUUCUUUCCUGCAUUUUCGUUUCCACAGGUACAGAAAAUUUUUCCCAGAUUUUUGGUCUAAGCAUUGCAUUUUUCAUCACUAAAAAUGGUUUACUAUUUUCUCGCAGAUGCCAUCCAACUGGUACUAGUAAACAACUGCAAAGAAACAAUAUGGCCAGGAAUCCUCGGCGGCGCCGGCCACGAAACACCCCGAGGCGGCGGCUUCCCUCUCAACUGCGGCGAACAAACAACCCUCGAACUCCCUGAAAGAUGGUCGGGUCGAAUCUGGCCAAGACAAGGUUGCUGUUUCGACGAAACCGGCAAAGGCUCAUGUCAAACAGGUGAUUGUUCAGGCCUUUUACAGUGCCAAGGCAUCGGCGGAAAUCCACCGGCAACGCUCGUUGAAAUGACACUCGGUGGUCCAACAUCGGGUCUACAUUACUACGACGUGAGCUUAGUCGAUGGAUUCAAUGUCCCCGUCUCAAUGGUCCCUAUAGGUGGUGGCGUUGGGUGUGGAGUAGCCGCCUGUGAGACUGAUUUAAACGUUUGUUGCCCGGCGGCAUUGGUGGUGAAGAAAGAAGGGAAAGUGGUGGGGUGUAAGAGUGCAUGUUUAGCUGCUAAAACCGAUAGGUAUUGUUGCACCGGUGAGUUUGGGGAUCCAAAAAGCUGUAAGCCCACCAUUUUUGCUCAUCUUUUUAAAGCUAUUUGUCCAAGAGCUUAUAGCUACGCUUUUGAUGAUGCUUCAAGUCUUAAAACUUGUAGGGCUCCUAGGUAUCUCAUUACCUUUUGUCCUCCUAACUGAUGUCGUUUCAUUGUUGAGAUCAUUGAGUUUCUAUUAUGGUUUGAGGUUUUUUCCUUAUGUUAUUAGUAAAUUGUUGAAUUUGUUGCUUUAAUUGUAUGUUUUUGAAUUGAUUUCAUGGUAGCUAUGAUGGUAUCUUUUUGUUGUGUAUGAUCUUUAUAAUGUUCUGACUUGAAUCUUUUACUAGAAUCCAAGGUUUUGGUUUUACUUAAAAUAUUAACAAACCAUCAAAAUCACACACAUAUUUUGCUUAACUCAUAUCUGCAUAUAUACUCAUUUGAUUUUGUAUCAUAUAAUUUCUUUCUAUAAACUUUGAAGGCUUGGUGGGGAACUAAAAGUCCAACAUUCUACUAAUGGACCACAUGUCUAUUAGUGGAUCAUGGCUUUAAAUUCUCUCAGAUAGACUUAGCUUGUCAAAUAAGUUUUUUUUGGAUUGGGUGAACUUAAAAUUUUUUUAGGUUUUAUUUGGAUUUGAAAUUUGACUUCAGGUCAUUUGGGAUUAUUUGUUUCUAUCAUUUUUAAAGCGCUUUAGUCAUUUUGGAUUAGGUUAGUUUUAAGUUUAGAUAUUUUUGGUUUGAGUUUGAGACCUUUGGAUCAUUUUGGGUUUAGUUUAUUUUUCUGAUUUUGUCAUUUUUUAUCAUUAUGAGUUCAAAUUAUUUUAGAUUCAAUUCAUUUUAAUAUCAAAUCAUUUUGGGGUUUGGGUUAAUUCAAUUUGAGUUAUUAAUUUUUUUAUAAUUAAAUCUCAGCUUUAUUUGAAUUUAGAUUAAUCAUUUUGAUUCGCAAUCAUAAAGAUAAUACAUCUCAAUCGCUAUAAUCACUGCAACCAGAAUUAAACAUUAUAAACCCUUAAAAGAAAUUUAAAGUUGCAAAGAACUCUGUCCUCAUUAAAGCUUUUGACAAUCUUGAUUCUUCAUCCACAAACUUUUUUAUUAAAAAAUAAAUUAAAAUUCCAAGUUGGAUGAUUAAUUUCUCCCAUGAAUAUCAUAAUAUAUUUUACCUAGUAAUCCUAACAUGAAUUCUUAACAUUAAUUGCAUAAUAAAAUAGAUGAGGCAUGUGCUUAGGUUCCAUAACAAUUUCAACAUAUAAUAAAUUGAAAGUUCAUCUCAAUUUAGUAUUACAAUGAUCAAAUCCCACUUUUCACCCACCAUUUUUAAGUAUCAAGUCAAAACCAGAAGCAAAGCUCCCAAAUUUUUGCUGGAAGAUAAACCAAGUUCCCAUUGAAAGAAUCAACUUUGCUACCAUUUUUGCUAUUAAUGGAGCUCAAAGUUGUAAAAGCAAGUGUUGAGAAGGGGGAGGGAUUGGGAUGGGGCAAAUCUUUGCUAGUUCCAAGCAUCCAAGAGAUAUUGAAGAAUGAUUCUCAAUCAGUCCCUGAAAGAUACAUACAAGAACCGAAAGACAGGCCAUUAAUUUCUCAGAACCUGUUUGAUUCACUUCAAGUCCCCGUCAUAGAUUUCUCCAUGUUAGCUCAAAAGGAUGCAAAUGAAAUAAGGAAGCUAGAUCUUGCCUGCAAGGAGUGGGGCUUUUUCCAGGUAAAACCAAACACCUGUAUUAAGCACAUAUUCGUAUUUGACACUCACCCGGGGUUAUCCUAUUUUUGUAGAUAAUAAAUCAUGGGGUUAGAGAGGAGAUCAUGGUUAACAUGAAGGCAGCUAUGGCAGCUUUCUUUGAAUUGCCAUUCCAAGAGAAAUCCAAGUGUGCAAAGGGAGCUAAUGAGAUUCAAGGGUAUGGGCAAAACUUUGUGGUCUCAGAGAAACAGAAACUUGAUUGGUGUGACAUGAUGUUCUUAAAGACAUUUCCCCAUGAAACCAGGAAUUUCAAGUUUUGGCCACUCACUUUACCAGGUUUCAAGUAUGCAUUCUUUCUUGUUUGUUAAGCUAUUAUGUUACUCGGGCAAUACAGGUAUGUAUCUGAUACGGAUAUGUUGAAACAGAGAGGCGGUGGAAGAAUAUUCAACAGAAAUACGAAAGGUUUCGAACAAGAUCGAUGCUAACUUAUCGGUGUUAAUGGGGAUGGACAAAAAUGGAUUGAAAAGGAAGCUAGGAGAGUUUCAACAAGGAAUAAGAAUGAACUAUUAUCCAACAUGUUCAAGGCCUGAUCUUGUUCUUGGUAUUAGUCCUCAUUCUGAUGGAAGUCUAUUCACUUUGCUACUACAAGAUGAUGAGAUCAAUGGCCUUCAAAUUAAGCACAAAGAAGUAUGGAUUGAUGCUAAACCAAUCCCGAAUUCUCUUGUGGUCAACAUUGGUGAUGCUAUCGAGGUUAGCUAUAAUGUUUUUAUGAGUCAAAAGAUUUUACCAAUGGUCAAAUUUUGCAUUAGCCCCUAUAUUAUGUGUGAUGGAUACUCGAAUGGUAGCUAUUAAAUUCAUUAAGUCAAAUUCAUCCCUUAGAAAAAAAUUUCUAAAUUCUAGCAUAAUGACUUAAUGGAUUUAAUUUGACCUUUAUCAAUCCUAGAAUACAAAUUCUGUUUCCUGUCUUGUUUUUAUCAGAUUCUGAGCAAUGGAAUGUAUAAAAGCAUUGAACAUAGAGCUAUCAGCAAUGAGAAGAAACCCAGAAUGUCAAUUGCAACAUUUGUGAUGCCAGGUGAUGAAGUCCAAAUAGGUCCACUGGAUUCAAUGGUGAAUGAGAAGCAUCUCCCUAGAAGUUAUAGAAACAUCAAGUACAUCGAUUACAUCAGGCAAAAGUUCGCCAUGAAAAUGCAGGGAAAAGCUCACACCGCCAUUGUUAAGCUAUAAAGCAAAAUCAAAAUGCUAGCUCUGUUCUUCAUGUCUGUUUUGUAACAAGUCAAUUUAUGAUAACUCACCACUCUUUAAAACAAGAGUAGUAUUGAAUUCUACAUUGCAUAACUCUAACAAUCAAAUUAUUGAAUUCUGUUGUAUAAAAAAUAUCUUGAAAAUUAAAUUUUUUACAAAAAAUUUCAUUUACAAAACUAUAAAAACUUUACCAGACUAAUUUGAUAACGUAAUAAUAACAAAUUAGGUUCUGAUUAUAUCUAUUUUUUUUAUAGAAUGUUUAGUACUAAUUAUAGCCCCUCCCAACUUAUAAAUGGGAGGAUAAUGAGUUUCAGCAUACUCGAAACCACGUCCUUUUGCAUUGGCAACAAUGCGCAUGCCAAUCAAACUAAGACUCAAUCGACUUUAAAAAAUACAUUUAAAUUUAUUAAAAUUUAUACAAAAUUUAUCGAUAUGUCAAAAUUUUUAUAAAUGUUAUAUAUACCAAAUGUAUAUAUUGAAUAUGAUGAUGACUAUAGGAAAAAAAAAAACAAUAUGAAUAUACAAGAUACAAAAUUUGGGAGUAAAUGUCAUGUUGAUGUAGUUAUGCUACACUCAUAUUACUUUUUAUACAAUGUUUGUAUUUUUUUAUUUAGAAUAUCAUGAAUAUACAAUUACAUGCAAUUAAUUCAUUUCAUAUAGAAUUCAAUUUAGAGAAUAAUUUGUAUGUUAAUUUUAUAUUAUAUUUCUAUUAAUCUCGUAUUUUACAUAAUUUUUAAUAUCUAUAAUUUAUAGAAGAAUAUUAAUUCAUAUUUUUUUGUUUGUUUUUUUUCUUGUAAUUAAAAUGUUAUGAAUUUCUAUAAAAUUUUACAUGCUGGCUUGAAACUUUGGAAAUUUUAGUUACUUUAUGAUUUUUAAUAUAUCUUGAGAUUUUUUUAAAUUUUUUUUAUUAGAAUGUUUAAAUUUUGAAACUACGAUCACAACAUUUGUGAAAAAUUGUUAAAAAAAAAAAUCCUCUUUAUAGAAUUUUAGGUUUUUUUUUUCAAAAUUUUAGAAAAAGAAGUUGGAAAUUUUUAUGAUUUAAUAUUAUUAAGAAUUUUUAUAUAUAUUUUUAGUGUUAAAUUAUUUAUUAUUUUCUGAACUUUAUAUAAAUUUUAAUGAAUUUUUUGAAUUUUUUAAAAUAAUUUUUAAAGAUAAUUUUUAUUUUUAUUUUUUAAAAAUUUAAAACUUUUGGAAGUUUUUUAAAUUCUUUGAAUUUUUAAAUAAUACUUUUAAAUUUUAAAAUAUAUUUUUAAAUUAUUAUUAUUAUUAUAUAACUUUUAAGUUUUAAGUUUUUUUUUGACAUUUUUGAUUUUUUAUGAUUUUUUCGACUUUUAGAUUUUCUUUGAUUUUUGAAAAAAAAAAUUCAGCCAACCCUUAUUAAUUUUUCUUAUUUACUCACUUUGAAAAAGUAGAAGAAUUAAAUUAAAUUUUUAGAGAUCAAUUUACCUAAUUUUAAAAUUGACAAAACCUGUCGAUUGAGUUUUAGCUCAAUUGUCAUUGACAUUGUUGCCAAUACAGGAAUAUGUGGGUUCAAGUGCGUUGAAAUACAUUAUCCUCCUAUUUAUGGGUUAGGGAGUGACUAUAGUUCUAGGCAUUGUGUCAAAAAGAACAAAUAUGAUCAGAACAAAUAUGAUCAGAACUUAUAAUAAAAUUGUUUAAAAAUUGACAAAAACAUGUUCUGAGAACGGACUCAAAUGGGGCACAAACAUUUUCUUUCUUUAACAAAGGAAAAAGACUGGAUUUCCCCAUCACAACAAAAACUUUACAUAUUGGAGUUGUCAAUUAUCCAAUAUUCUUCAAUCUUCAAUUAAGGAUUUUCAGGACACAUUUAGUUAAGGGUUCUCAAUGCAUAAGCGGCACCUUUUAUACUAAGUCAUAGAUUCGAUUUUAUUUUUGUUAUAUAUGAGAAUAUAUCGGUGUAAAACUAAAAUAGUUUUAUAUCCUUUCGUAUGAUUAAUAUUUUAAUGAUUAAACCGUCAUAUUUCAUUCAUAUAUAUUAUGCAUGUCAAGUUUAACAUGAUAAAACUUUCAACCGUUCAAUAAAUAUUAAUAUAUACAUUAUUUUAGAGAUAAAAAUAUCGAAUCAAUUAAAAAAAUUAUUUACAUAACAAGUACAAUUAUAUUAAUAGAUUCAAGGAGUUUUACAUUAAUGUAAAUGGAUCCCUUUCUAUAUAAUAAUACUAAUACUAAUACUAAUAAUAAUAAUGGAAGUAGAACAAUCAAAUUUAAUCCGAACUUAAAAACCUAAUUUGAUUAAUCCGAAUUUAAAUUUAAUUUAAUCUUAGCUAAAAAUAAUUCGAACAAAUAAUCUUAAAUAACUUACAGAAAUUGAUUCAAAUCUAAACUAAUUUAAACCGGAAAUUAUUUGAAAGUUUUAGAAUUCAAAUUCACCCUACUCAAAACAUGUUUAAAUGGAAGUGAAUGGUUUACAAGUAGAAAUAGAAUAAGAACAAUUAUGAUUAAGAUAGGAUUACAACUUCACUUAAAACUUUAUUUAGGCGUCGUUUAAGUUUUAGUUUGAUUGACAUAGACAUUGUUGUUAUUGCAAGAAGAUGUGGGUUUGAGUGGCUAAAGCGCAUUAUCUUUCUAUUUAUGAGUUCAGGAGGGACUAUGGAUAGUUUUAGAUAUUGUGUAAAAAAAAUAUAAUCAAAACUUAUUAUGAGAUCCUUUAAAAAAAAUAAAAAAUAAAAAUGAAUUUUUUUGAAUUAAAAAUAAAUAAUUAAUUUGUGUAUGACACGUGGUAAUAAACUAAUAUAAAUAUAUUAUCUAGAAAAUAAAAAUUAUUAAUAUAUAAAAAUUUAUAUAAAUAAAAUAUUCUUUUAAACACAAUUAAGAAAUUUAUAAACUAAGGGUCUGUUUGAUUGGCGUAUUUCAUUUUCCGGAAAACAUUUUCCCUCUUUUACGGUGUUUGAUUGACCAAAGGAAUUGAUUUUCCGGAAAAGCAACUUCAACACACGGGAAAAUCAAGCCCUUCUUUGCGUAAAAUGUCUUACAGAUUUUUUUUCCGUAAGACAUUUUCCGGAAAACACAGCUUCAACCUCUCAUUUCCUCCUCAUUUCCUCUCCGUCCAUCAACGUCAGCCUCUCCUCCUCAUCGGUGUGCUUCUUCUUCUUGGGUUAUCAACAGGUUCUGUUCUCCUUUUCUCUGUGUAUUAUUUUUGUUGAUCGUGAUUUUUUCUUGGGUGUGCCUUUCCUCCUUUUCUCUGCUGUUUUUCCUCCUCUACUUUCUUGAUCUAAUUUUUUUUUUGUUUCUUUGAUUGAGUUUUUAUUUCAGUUAUUUUCUAAUUUCAGUUUUGAUUGUUAAGGGUUUCUGCAAAUGGGUAGUUUUCUGCAAAUAUUUUCUGCAAAUCAGUUUCUGGGUUAACUGGAAAAUGGGUAAUUUGGAUACUUUAGCACCCCAUCAUGCAUGCGUAUGCUAUAUAGCUUCUGCAAUGUUUGCUAAAUUUCAUCUGUAAGUUCUCUUGACCUCCAACUUGGUCGAUUUAAGGAAGGAGAAAAGUAUGAAUAUUUUGGCUGAUCAUCAAUGUCUCAUUUACAUUCUUAUAAAAAAGAAUACAUUUUUUAACUAGAAGAAUAUCAGUCUUAUUUUAUCAUACAUUAUAGAUGGUCAAAAGUCAGCAACUGCAUUUGUUCUGCAUUUGUAGCUUUCAAUCAACUUGGAAGCUUAAAUGAGUGUCGAAACUUGUUCUGCAUUUGUAGCUUUUAAAGGUGCUUUAGUUGGAUGGUCAUGAUUAUCAUAUUGUUGCAAUUUAUUGUCUUGUUUUAUUAGUUAAUAGGAGUAAAUGUAAAAUGUUCAUUGGCUUUUAAAAUGUUGGAAUUCUUUGAAUUACUUGAAAUGCUUAAUGAUGUAAACUUGAAGUGCUUUUUUUUUUGAUAAAGAUGGUUACUGAUAUUAUUGGAUUCUUAUCAAUCUGGUUUUCUUUACUAAAGAACCUUGAUUUGUGUUCAAUGAUAGUGGGCUGAUGUUGCUGGCUUUGGAUGCUAGCCAGAUUCCUGCUUAUUUCAUACCUGCUUUGGGACCUGUUCCCAAGUGGUGUUCUUCGCUGGAAUCUCUUACGGUGUGUUUUUAACUUGUAUCCUAAUCAAUUUUUGUUUUAUCCUUUUAUUGGAUGUACUAUGUUGGGAUAUGCAGAUGUGGUGCACUAGUGUUUACUUUGUAUAUAUUUUACAGGAAGAGCUUGAGGAGGGUGGACAAACAAGCAUAUAUGACAACUAUAAAUUUUUAACAAAAGAGGAUCUUGAGAAGUUGAAUUUGACAAAUCUAAUUGGGACCAAUCUUCUGCGAGCCUACAUGCACGGGUUCUUUAUUGAAUUUCGUUUGUACAAAAAGGCAAGACUGCUAUUCUUUUUAUUAUUUCUUGUUAAGGAUAUCAUGCAGCUUAAAAACUCCGGAUAAUUGCAUUGUGUCACCUGCUGGAAAUUUGUCUGGUUGGGUGUGUGAAACACGAAAUAUCUAGAAGUAAAUAAAAGUUGAGAUGCAGAAACAAAAAAAAUGAGUUCAGAGUUGCUAGAUUAAAUUCAGAAAGAGAGUUAUGUAAUUUUUCUUUUUUCUGAUCAGAUAGUGCUUUCAAUGCUCAAUGUGGUUCUUUUGUACAUCUUCACUAUUUUGCUGUUUAAUAUUCAUAUUUUUACAUAUAUUUCAAUAUUCUUACUAGUACUCAUUGUGGAUAAUAUUUUUUUAAUUUAUAACAAUCAAUAUUGUAGCUUAUUAUUGAGUAUUAUUAUAAAUAAAUUAUUGCAAUAUAUGUAAAAACAAUUUUAAAAUAUAAAAAUUUAUUAAUAUAUAUUAAUAUAUGUAAAAAACAACUUUUCUGGAAAAUAUUUUCAGGAAAUCUGUCAAACAGCAGAAAAUAUUUUACACUGAUUCAAUCAAACACCAGAAAAUAUUUUCCAGUAAGUCAUUUUACAGAAAAGUAAAACAUUUUCCAGAAAUCAUUUUACGGAAAAUAUUUUACUGCCAAUCAAACAUACCCUAAUUAAUACACAAAUUACCAAUUCAGUAGUAUCCCAAGCAUGAAAAACGAGGCCAUGAGUAUUAAAUUGAAAACUUGAAGUUUACACCUUUGCCGAAAUGGAUCGAUGCCUGCCAUAAAUCACAUUUCUAUAAAUAUAGCCUCAUAAAACCAAGUUUUAUUUUUGGCAUAAUUAGCAGCAAUGGUAAUGAAAACCCAAUUUUGUUACGUCCCAUUUUGAGAAAUAUAAUGAUUUUUUUAAAAAAAAUUUGAGGACUCAGGUUGUAUAUAUAUAUUUAUCGGAAUAUGCUGUUUUUAGAGAGAAAAAUGAAAACGCACUUUAUAAGACGCGUUUUCAAGUCAAAGGUAACUUUCCCCCCAACAGUCACAAUUCCAAUAGCUACAAUACCCCAACAACCAUAUUUUUUUCCUAUAUAAACCCCUCCAAACUUCAUUCUUUUCAAUUCAAACUCAAUUCUCUCGAUAAUUUUGUUUUAAAUCUUUCUCUGAAUCCUAUUCUUUUCGAUUUUAUUUUAUUCCUUAUAAUUUGUAAAAUAAAAAAAUCAGCUUAUUCGUUUGGAUGACAAUCACAUCUCCGACGUUCAAUUAUAAAUGAUAAGAAAAUAUUUUUAAAUUAUUUAAUUUUAAUUAGUUAACUAUUAUGCUAUUAACAUUAUUAAUUUUUUUAUGUUUAUAUACUCAGAUCGAAGAUCAGAUUUUGGAGACGUGCAUACACAAUUUAAGCAAGAGUGGAUCCGUUUUCAUUUAUGGAAACUUGCGAUGUCACAUCCCGAAAAUCGGGUUAGUAGAAUUGGGUUUUUAAGUUGAGGGUUAGAGUCCGGAAUUAAAAUUAGGGUCAUAGAUAAGUAAUUAAAGUAUUAAAGUAACACAAUUGGGUUUUUUUAUUAGCUAGCUUAAAACAAAAUUUAAUUUUGAGGUCUAAUUUGAAAAAAAUGGAUUUUAGUUGGGUUAGGAACUAAUUGAAAAUGGAGAGAAACAGAGAGUGACCAAAAUGGCAAAUUAGUCUUCUACCUACAGUAUACCACUGUCUUCUUCUUUCUUAAACCAACUUAUCCUUUCAAAUUUAUUAACCUCUCAAACACUAAAACAACCCCCAAUUUCAAAAGAAAAUCACGUUUUCAACAAAUUAGAGUUGUAGAUCAUCGUUUUCAACAAAUUAAGGUAAUAUUCUAACUUUUUAGGACUAAAUAAAGAGUUCUUUUAAUUCAAAUUGAGUUUUAAACGAUUGUAUGAGGAUUUAUUUAGAUUUAAUGUUUUCAAAGCAAGCUUUAAUUCAAAAAUGACAAAUCUCAAAAUCUUGAGUAAACUAGUGUUUUCAAAGUUGUUUUUGGUUCAUUCUAACCUAAUUAGAAGGUAUUCCAUCUCAAUUUGAUAGAUCCUAAUCGAUUUUUUAAGAAUCAAGCAUUUUCCCUCUUUUACAUGUUUUUGGAAGCUUGAUUUUUUCAAAAAUUUUAGAACCAUGGAUUUAGGUAAAAUUGAUGGUUUAAAUAUGAAAUUAAAUGAUAUUUAAGAUAUUUGAAAUCAAAUUGAGGAUUAUAAAUGAGAUUAUAAUGUCGAAACUUUAAUUUCGACAAAACUAGCUAGUAUUUGGUAAUCAGAAAUGAGAGGCUUGAAUUGUGUUUUCCUUGCUGUGUGGUUGCGUUCAAGGUUAUUUUUAAUGAUCUUGGAAAGGGUUUGUUGUGUGUGAAAAGUGUCAGAUUAAUUGGGAGCCACUACAAGCAAGUCAAAAGGUAAGGAAAAGUUUGUUUGAGCUUUCGGUUAGUAAGCAGAAGCGUGAUUGGUGAGUGUCUGAAGUCUCUGGUGGUGUGCGCAAUUCGUAUUGUUAAUCGAGAUCUUAGGAUUAGCCUAAACCCUUAUCCUAUGUUUCAACAGUAAGCUUUCUUCUAUUCUUUUUUGCCUUGUUGUAAAAUUAUGCCUAAUAAGGAUGAGUUGUGAUAUGUGAUGCUAUUACAGCAGGUAAUAUAUGAAAUUACGUGAAUAUGAUAUAUGAUAUAUGAUAUACUUAUUUUAAUACACACAUAUGUGGUCUGAUAUAUGAUAGCUCAAUGAGCAUUAUUGUGCCACUUAAAGUGCAAAUAAAUGUGAAUUCGAUAAGCAUGAAUUGUGUAUGAGAUUGUAAUGUGAAUUGAUGAAUAUGAACAGAGGUUAUAUGCAUUAAAACAGUGGUUAAAUAUGUGUAAUUCUGGAUAUUUUGGCCUUGUGUUCUCUUAAAACUAUUGGAUAUGGUUGGCAUGUCAUAGGAUUAUGAGUACUCAUCCUUGUGUUUGGGAUUUGGGUGUUGAGGCCCCGGGACAUGUUGGAGAGAUAAGAGAAUGUCGAGCUAAGCUCUAUUUAUCGGGAAAUUUUGGUGUGUUGGAGAGUGUUUAGCUUAAUGCUACACUUAUGGGACAUGUUAGACACUUUAAGUAAUUGGUGUGUUGGAGAUCCGUUUAUCCAAUGUGUGGUGAUAAAGUCCACUUUUAUGUUUCAUAAUCUCAAACUGCCAAAUUAUCAUUAUUUGAAUUAUAUAUAUAUAUGAAAUAUGUUUUAUGUAAAUGCAUGUGAGAGUAUAUGCUAGGCUUGUGAGAUAAUGAAGCGUGAUUAUAUUAUUUUGACUUGAUGAAUAUAUGGUUGCGAAUGUGCUUUAGUAUGCUCUUGCUUAACUUAUGAUGUCGUGCAUGCUUUGUGGUAAUUUCGAACAUUCACUGAGCUUAUUUAAGGUCACACACUCCUCAUUCACUGAGCUUAACUUAAUUUCGUAUAGAUACCUAACAUACAAAUAUCAAUACUGGCCUAUUUGGUAUUAAUACUUACGUUGGAUUUUUAUCUCUUAAAGUUUAUUAUGGUAGCCAUUUUCCUUAAUUAUUAUGGUGAAUGUAUUUAUAUAACUUUCGAUAGUUGUUGUAGUAUCUUGUAAUUCGGGUUUGACGACUAAACCGAGUGAGGGGUGUUACAUGUGAGAUGCGAGAUUCUUAUACGUGGCUCAUAUGCUUGGGAGGACUAAGUUGGACCCCCUACUUAUUAGUGCUUUGGUGGAAAGAUGGAGGCUGAAGACAGACAUAUUCCAUCUUCUUUAAAGUGAGUGUACAAUUACACUCGAGGAUGUUGGUUUACAACUCGGUCUAUCGAUCGAUGGGGAAGUCAUUACGGGGCCAGUGGUGAGUGUCAAUUGGAGUGCAACAUGAGAGAAACUACUAGGAAAUGUGUCGACCAAGUUUAAGGGUAGUCAGACUGAGAUGGGAUGAUUGGAUGACAACUUCAAAACUGUCGAGGCUUUCGCAUGUGACAUUGAAAAACAAUAAUUCUCGUGCUGAUAAUACUCUAGAAUGACAUAUUUUUAUGUAUUUAUUACAUAUUUAUUUUGAGUAUGAUCCUACUAAUUUGAGCUAUUUAUGGUUUUUGAUCUUGUAGGGACUAAAUUGAAGGUAAAAGGAAAUUUAAGGGAAAAAGUGUGAAUUUAAAGAUAAAAUGGGCCAAUAAAUUUAGGGGAAAAAGCAUGAAUUUAAAGAAAAAAUGGGCCAGUAUGCGAAAUAGGAAAGAAGUGGUGCCUAAAAUGCAAAGUGUGAAAGACUUGGGGGUAAAAGUUCAAAGAAGAGAUUUUAUAGCAAAAGACUCUAUUUAAAUUUAAAUUAUAUUUUAGGAUUAUUGUAAAGAUUAUUAUUUAGAUUUAAUUUCAACUUUUUAUCUUUAUUUAUCUUUUAGAAUUUAAAUAGGAACAAACUAGGUUUUCUAAGUACUAUAAAUAUGGGAUGGAGUCACACAAAUUUCAAUCAACUUUUCUAAAACAGCUCCAUCUACCAAAAAGCUCUAACUUUUGUUCCUUUCAUUUAUAUUAAGUUUAUUUCUUUUUCCCCCAAAAGCAUGAACCACUAAAUUUAUCUAGUCAAAGGUUGUCGAGAUUUCCCAAAAAGGGUUCAUGAGGCUUAGAAUCUGCAUUUAGCCUUCUCAAUGAAUAUUUAUCAUUUCUCCGCACUACGGGACUGACGCUUUCAUCCAUGUCCCUUCAAAAGUUGCAUCUUAUGUAAAGGCGGCCACUUUGUAUGUUUUGGGAAGGUUGCACAGUCAGUUUGUUAGCUUAUUGUGUCAGUGGUUGUUGAGCUUAAGAGAGAAAAUGGCGUGGCAUUCGCCAUCGAGAAGUGAUGAUCUAGUGUAAGACGGUCCCACAAAAGUGAUGGUUGGCUAGAGUCUUGUUCCUCUAUAUCAUAAGUCUAAAAUCUAAGUGGAUAUGGAGGUCGUAAGUGUCCUUUUCCACUAUAACUGGCUUAUUCUGUUAUGAGAAAGGUCAUCUAAAAGUCUAGGAUUGAACCUACAGAGGAUCGAGAUAACCGAAGGCUGAAAUCUCUCCAUCAAAGACUCUAUUUUUACAAUUUUAAUUUCAAUUUGCACAAUCUCAAUUCAUCCAAACUUUUAAUUCUGUUUUUUCAUUUUUUUUAGGUUCACCAUUUUUCUUGGGCACAACUCUGCCCGGGAUCUCAAGGAACAGGAAUUUGUGUAAAUCUAGUCCCUGAGGAUUUGACCCUACAUCCCUUAUACUAUUCGUUUUGUUAUUUUAUAGGGAUAAGAAAUUUUUUGUGCUUUCAUCGACACAUCAAAUUUUGGCGUCGUUGCUGGGGACUGGUACCGUACUAAUCUUGUUUCUUUUGUUUCUUAUAACUAGACCUACUUCAGGUAUUCUUGUGUUUGGUUCAGAAAUACAGAAGACUGCGGGAGCCAAUCGCAAGGAAACGAAGUUACAGAAAAAGUAGUCAAGGGUUGUAGGGACUGAAAGUAAUCCACCGACGAAAAUAAAAAUAGACGACGAGAUUGAGUCUAAGGUUAACGAAAACCCUACUUAAACACUAGAAAACGAAAGAAUCGGAGUCGAUCCAACAGAAGAAGUGCUUAAUGUUAGGGUUAAUGAGAACCCAAAUCUAACACAUCAACCAAUGGCUCAAACAAUCCAGCAAACGGCUGAAACUCAUGCAGAACAAAAACCAUUAUGCAUUGCGUAUCCUACUAUGGAUACUGAUUUUGAAUUGAAGUCAGGAUUAAUCCAGUUACUGCCAACUUUUCGUGGGUUGCAAAACGAAAAUCCCCACAAACAUCUGAAAAAGUUUCUUAUGGUUUGUCUUAGCAUGAAACCUCAGGGUGUAACUGAGGAUCAAAUCAAAUUGCAUGUAACACCCCCUUACCUGAGACCGUUUUUGGAGUCGAGCACGAGGCGUUAUCUGACUUAACUUACUAGUUCGGAACACAAAAAUUUGCUUUUAAAAUUAAUUUCACUAUUCCCAACAAAAUUUUCCACCUGCGCAAUUGUUACUAAUUUAAUUAUAACUCGAGUUAAAAAACUAAAAAUUUAUAUUCAUAAAUUUUUUAUGAAACUAGACUUAUAUACCUUCUUACCAUAAAAUUUCUAGAAUUUUUGGCUUAGCCAAUUAGUACAUUUUAUUCGUUAAAUUCUUCCCUGUUUCACAGCUUGACAGUUCUGACCUCUUGUCGCUAAAAAUCAAUUAUCUCAUUGUACAAAAUUAAUAUAAUGUUAUAAUUUGAUUAUUUUGAAAAUAUACUCACUAAGGAAUCUAGACAUAUAAAUUAUGUCCCAUAAUUAUUUAUGUACAAUUUUUAAUGAAUUUCUAAAGUCAGAACAGAAGACUUCAAAAACCAUUCUGCCCCUGUCUCACUAAAAUUCAAAUAUCUCAAAAUAUAAAAUUCCUUUUCCUACACCGUUUCUUUCAUGUAAAAAUAUACUUGAUAAGAUUUAAUUCUAUAUAUAAUUCACUCUCUAAUUCCAUUUCUACUAUUUUUGGUGAUUUUUUAACAUCACGUCACUGCUGCUGUCCAAAAACUGCUUCUUUGUAUUAGCUACCAUUUAAACAUAUAUAACACCAAAACAUGUUCUUUACUAACCAUUUCAAUAGCUAAUCUUUAGCCAUAUCAUAUGAACAUACUCAAAAUGAAUAAGUCUCUAUACAUGCCAUAGCUUCAAAUGUUUUGAAAUCACAUAAUACCAAGAUGUCUGUUGAUAGUGUGAUACGAAGCUCCGACGAUCCCCAAUUCGAGUAAGCUCAAAACACUAUAAAACAAAGGAAAUGAAGAAAGGAGUAAGCUACUAAUAGCUUAGUAAGUUACAUGUAAACAAUAAGCACUCAUUUAAUAAUUAACAUUUUUUAACAUAUAACUAAUCAAUACAUUUCUUAGCAAUUUCAAUCACUUAUAUAUGCACAAUCUUACCAAAUUCACUUGCAUAUACAUUUACACACUUAACCUUUAUCACAUAUGCUCAUUCUUUCAAAUGUACCUGCAUACACACCUCAUUCAUAUUCACUUUAACUCAUUAUUAAUCUCGUUGAACACUCGGAAUAUACACAGAUACAUAGAGAGUUAGCACAUAAGUGCCACACUGAUAUGUAGCCGAAGCUAUCACUGAAAUGUAGCCGAAGCUACCACUGAUCAAUAAUACUGGAAAUGUCCACGGGCCUGCUCAUACAAGCUGUCAGGUACCUGCAACACAUGCUAGAUCACCCAGCACCCGGGACUCACUGUAACACUGGUCUCUAGUGACAUGUCACUUGUAUCCACUUCUAUUCCUAAGUUCAACCGGGAAUUUACACUUAACACUUUAUUUUAAACACUUUAUCACUUGAAUAAUUCAUGAACAAUUUUCCUUCCACAUUAAAUAUUAAUUCACAUAUCAAAUAUAAUUCACAAUUUAUAAAAAUAUAUUGCUAUUAUUUACACGUAACUUACCUCGGAUGCAAAACGACUAUUUUCGUAAAUUAGUCGAAAACCUUCUCUUUUCCCCGAUCACUUUCACUAUUCCUUUUUCUUGAUCUAUAUUAACACAAUUUAAUAUAUUUUAUCAACAUUCCAUUCAAAUACAAUUCAUACACAAUAUUUUGGCAAACUUAUAUUUUUUCCCAUAACUUUUCAAAAUUACACUUUUGCCCUAAAGCUCGUAAAAAUAAAAUUCACUAAAUUUCUUAAAUUUUAAACCUCACUAAAUCAUAUUUCAUGCUCAUAACAGCCCUCAAUUUCACAAAAUCACAACUUUAUGCACACUUUACUAUCUUUCACAAUUUAGUCCUUUUUCAAUAUUUUUAUCGAAAUUCAUCUAGUAAAACUUGUAAUUAGCACUUCAAUCAUUCAUUAUCUAUCAUAACUCAUCAAAUUACAACUAUAUCAUAAAUGGGUAAAUUUUUUAAACUUUAAUUUCAUUUAAAAUAAAUGGUAGAAACAUGAAAUUCAAGCUUCAAUAAGCAUAAAAAUACGAAAAUAAUUAAAAACGGGGCAAGAAAUCACUUACAAUUGAGCUUAGAAAAAUCAAGAACCCUAGGUAUGAUGACAUGGAAUUUUUGGCAGCAAGGGUCUAAUUCGAAGAAGAUGAACACUUGUUUUCAUCUUAUUUUGUCUUUUAUUCAAUUUUGACAAAAAAGCCCUUGACCCACUUACUUAGAUAUUUUUCUAGAAUUACCCUUAUGUGUCCAUAACACUAAUUUAUGGUCUACUUGCCACAUAAACACUUCCAAUUUCUUGUAAUAAUUCAAUUAAGUCCUUUAAUCACUAAUUAGACACACUUUGCAUUUUUCUCAAUUUAGUCCUAAAAAUUCAAUUAGGCACUAAAUCAUUAAAAUUUCCUAUCCAUAUUUUCACACAAUAUUUCAAUCAAUCGGUAAUUAAUAAAAAUUUAUAAAAUUAAACUAUUUCACUUUGAAUUUGUGGUUACGAAACCACUAUUCUGAUUAGGCCCUAUUUCGGGCUAUCACAUUGCCUACUAGGUUAACACGUUCCAUAAGGGGCAAGCUUAGAAGGAAGCUCAAUAUUACAUUUGGGAUGAACCGUACUUGUGGAAACACUAUUCAAACUAGAUAAUAAGACAAUGUGUUCCAGAAACCGAGGUAGCUUCUAUCCUUACUUUUUGUCGCACAAAAGCUUAUAGAGGUCACUUUGGCUCUAAAUGGACUACUCAUAAGGUAUUGGAGUAUGGGCUAUACUGGCCCACAAUUUUUUGAGACGCAUAUAAUUUCUGUAGGUCCUGCGAUAAAUGCCAACAAACAGGUAACAUAAGUAAGUGAAAUCUAAUGCCCCUAUCUCCAAUUCAUGUAUGUGAGAUUUUUGAUGUGCGGGGCAUCGACUUCAUGGGUCCGUUUAUUUCCUCAUUUAGAAAUAUGUAUAUAAUUCUUGUAGUAGACUAUGUUUCUAAGUGGAUAAAAGCAAAUCCUACUCGCAAUGACAAUGCUAAAACUGUCGUAAAGUUUCUAAAAAGAACUAUUUUUUCUAAGUUUGGCACACCUUGAGCCUUGAUCAGUGAUCGUGGAACCCAUUUUUGCAAUAAAGUCAUGGUGGCACUUAUGAAAAAAUAUUGUGUUCACCACUAUAUAGCUAUAGUAAACAAACGGCUAAGCGAAAGUCUCGAACAGAGAAAUCAAGACCAUUUUAAAGAAAACAGUUUGGCCUAUCGAACGACGUAUAAGAGACCAAUUGGCAUGACCCCAUAUCAGCUUGUUUUUGGCAAGGCUUGUCAUCUUCCGGUAGAAUUAGAACAUAAGGCUUACUGGCUUGUACGACAACGUAACAUAGAGUUAGAACCCGCGAUGAGGGCAAGAAAAUUAGACAUCCAAUAAUUAGAGGAAAUUCGUAAUGAUGCCUAUGAUAAUGCUCGUAUUAUAGGGACAAAACAAAAUUGUUCCAUGACAAGAAAAUAUCUCGGAAGCAUUUUUUGAUAGGACAAAAAGUGUUACUUUUACAACUCUGUGUUAAAAUUGUUCCCAGGUAAGCUUCGGUCUCAAUGGCAAGGACCUUUAUUGUAACCGAAUUAUUCACACGUGGUGUAGUUGAAAUAAAGAGUGAAGAGUCAGGAAAACGAUUCACAGUCAAUGGCCAACAGUUGAAACCAUUUUACGAGAAUUUUCAAGCCCACACAGUUGGAAAAAUUUAGCUAGAACCUCUAUAGUACCAUUUGGGGCGUCAAGCUAACGACAUAAAACAAGCACUUAAUGGAAGGCAACCCAAUUUUUAUUUUUAUUAUAUUAUAUUAUUAUAUUAUUAUAUUAUUAUUUAUCACUUUAAUUUGUUUGGAUAAUAAUAAAUUUCUCUUCUUCUAUCUAGGUAAACCGGCGAGAAAAAAACUCAGGAAUUGACAUGUUUUCACAAACAUCUCUUAUUUUACCCUAAUCCAAGUAGGUAUAGAGCAUCCUUACUUCAUACUUACCCAAAACCUGCAUCCAAGCACCCUUCCUUCUACAGCUUCAAACCCUAUACUUUUCUCUAUUUUUACCCAAAAAAAUAACAGCCACCGUUAACCUUCUCCCUCAUCCCACCACCGAUUUUUCCCACCACUAUGGUUAGGACUAGAGGCCGUGCCAUCGUCGAACCCUCCUUCGCUGUAAACAGCCACCAGCGCCAAUUUUUGGUACCCCAACACGUCAACUUAAACAACGUCGCACCAUUCCCCUCUCCCCUUCCUCCACCGUCGCCCCCACCACUCACUUCACACGGACCAUCGCCACCACCAUAUUAGGCCCCGACCCCUCUCGACGUUGGCCUUGUUGACAGCCACAAACUCUUUCGACCCAACCAGCGGUGGCCUUCACCGAUUCCACCUCUGACUCCGACAUCGACACGCACGAACGACCCACAGGCUUCGGCGCCUCAGGGAGUCACGACGACCAACGCUAGUUACCUACCCGCGACAAGACGUACCGGUUUUGAGUAAAUAUUUUGCCACCAGAAUGCCAUUUAAACGGUAAUUUAAUGUUUGAUAAUGCUAUCAAUUGGGACAUGUAUGAUUGGUUACGACAUAAGUAAAUAGUGCAUUGCAAAUGUUUAUCACUAUUUGUUUUGAAUGCUUUGCAUAUUAACACUGUUGUUACCGAUUAUUUUCACAAUAUUGGUUGGGUUGGUAAUUUUGAUAUCACUCACUACACUUAUUACGAACUAGUUUUUGAAUUUUAUUCCACUUUCCAUUUUCAACAGCACGGUCAAUUCUCAUUGGACACACCUGGCAUUAUAACAUUUUGAUUGCUUGGUACCACACAUAGUUUGUCAUUUAUUGAUUUUAAUAUUUCAUUGGCUUUUGUAAUAGAGGAUUAUGCUAUGUCCACUGAUUAUGAGAACAGUUUGUGUACUUUUUCAGCAGACUUCAAGGCUAUCGGGGCUUUUGCGUUAUUGACAGACAAUGCUGAAACCACAUAUAGCCCUAAAACAUCAAAAGAUUUAUGGUUUCCUAACCCAGCCUUAUGCUACAUGCAUCGUUAUUUGGCUUAUGAUUUCUCAGGCCAGAAAGAUACACCGACUACAGUCUCGAAGACGAAAUUAUUCUUAUUAUGGUGUAUAUACAUCGAUCGUUCGGUAAAUUUGGGCUAUUGGUAUGCGUUUCAAUUUGAGCAUAUUAAAAAUACAAAGCAUCCUCUAAUUUUAGGCUCUUUUAUUACACUUUUAUUCUUUUUACAUGGCUCGAAUGCUCCUAUUUCAGACUAACAUAUUGCUUGCCAAGCCGAUCCAUUAGAUGCCUGCUGUCUCGACUCAAUGGGAUUUCUUGGCACUCCUACUUCCUUUCGUUUUGUUCCUCUAGGUACCCGAUCUUCAAUAGUUGAACGAAUCUUUAGGCGACAAAAUCCGAACAAGGUACCCAAUCAAAACCAACCUUUUAUGACCAUCGAGCAAUGAUUGGAAGCAUUGAGGCACGACUCGAAACCUUCGGCCAACAGAUGGCUAAUCUCAUUACAGCUCUACGCGCAUGACAGUGACUACAUGGGAAGUUUUUCUAAACUUUUUUCUUUUCUUCCACCUAAUUUUUUCUUUUCUUUCACAUGAAGGGCAAUGUGUUUUAAGUAGGGGGAGGCAUUCCUAAUUGUCUUUGAUGUUUUAUCUGAUGUUUUGACACUAUUACCACUGCCUUAUGCUUGUUUUGCCCACAUUUAUUUUUUUAGUAUAUCCUACCCUUUUUCAUGCCCAAGAUUUUGACCAAAAAUUAUCCAUUGUUUGAUUUACGAGCAUGAUUCAUAUCUACUAAGUUAGUUAUGAUUUUGCUAUAUUGAUUUCAUCUCUACUGUUUUAUUUCUAUUAAGCUAAAAUAAUUGUGAUUAAUAGAGUUAACCAUAUCUUACUUUUAGUAAAUUCGAUUAAGUUUAAAUGCAAAGAGGACACUUAAUAAAAUUGCAUGCUAAAAUUAUGUUCAUGACUGUUAGGUGGUUGCUGAAACUUAUUUUUGACACUUGAUUAUUUUUCCUAGUCCUCCAAAAUUAAAAUUUUAUUUCAUUGUAAUAAUAAAUUUUGAUGUCUCUGUGGUUAUAAGUGCAGCUUAAAAACGUGACUAGCUGAGUAACCGGGGUAGGGUGCUUGGGUUGUCAUCCUACUUCGCAUCAAAAGGUCGUGUGACGUGUUAGGUAAAACUCCGCUAAUCGGAAUUAAACAAAAAUUUUAAGAAUAUGUUAGGCUGAGUAACUGGGGUGGGGUGCUUGGCUGUCAUCUCUCUUCGCAUCAAAAGGUUCAAUAUAUUCUUAAGAAAAAAAUAUAAAUAUAAUAAAUUAGGAAUAUGUUGGGCUGAGUAACCGGGGUGGGGGCUUGGUUGUCAUCUCUCUUCCCAUCAAAAGGUUUAAUAUAUUCUUAAGCAAAAAAGAAAAAAAAGAUGUAUUAAUAAUAAAAUUGCAUUUGGGGAGUAAAAGUGGAAACAAAUAGGGUGUCUUGGUAAGUUUAGUAAAUUACCUAAUUUUCAUGAAAUAAUCCAAGUUGAUUAUUGUGUGAUUAAAUUUGAAUACUUUUUUAGUUUUACUUAAAGCAAGCUAAAUGUACUCUUUAUUUUUCAUAUGCAUUAUGCCUAAUUUUUAUAAAACUUUGGAGUGAUAUUUCUUUUAUGGUAAAAACUUAAUUUCACAGUGGAUAGGAACCAUACUUGAGGACAAGUAUGGGCUAAGUAGGGGGAAUUUGAUAAUACUCUGGAAUGACAUAUUUUUUUGUAUUAAUUAUAUAUUUAUUUUGAGUAUGAUCCUUCUAAUUUGAUCGAUUUAUGGUUUUUUAUCUUGUAGGGACUAAAUUGAAGGCAAAAAGGAAAUUUAGAGGCAAAAAGCCUGAAUUUAAAAAUAAAAUGGGCCAGCAUGCGAAAUAGGAAAGAACUUCAAAGAAGAGAUUUUAUAAACACAAGACUCUAUUUAAAUUUGAAUUAUAUUAGGAUUAUUGUUAAGAUUAUUAUUUAGAUUUAAUUUUAGCUUUUAUCUUUAUUUAUCUUUUAGAAUUUAAAUAGGAACAAGCUAAAUUUUCUAAGUACCAUAAAUAGGGGAUGGAGUGACACAAAUUUCACUCAUCUUUUCUGAAAAAGCUCCCUCUACCAAAAAGCUCUAGCUUUUGUUCUUUUCAUUUAUUCAAUAAAAUUCCAUUUUUAUUAAGUUUAUUUCUUUUUCCCCAAAAAACAUGAGCCACUAAAUUCAUCUAGCCAAAGGUUGUCGAGAUCCCCCAAAAAGGGUUCAGUAGGCUUAGAAUCCGCACUAAGCCUUCUCAACGAAUAUUUAUCGUUUCUCCGCACUAUAGGACUGGCACUUCUGUCCAUGUCCCUUCAAAAGUGAUCUUUUCGUCUUAUGCAAAGGUGGCUGCUUUGUAUGUUUUGGGAAGGUUGCACAGUUGGUUCAUUAACUUACUACGUCAGUGGUUGUCGAGCCUAAGAGAGAAAAUGGCGUGGCAUUCGCCAUUGAGUAGUGAUGAUCUAGUGUAAGACGGUCCCACAAAAGUGACGGUUGGCUAGAGUUAGGUUCCUCUAUAUCGUAAGUCUAAAAUCUAAGUAGAGCUGGUGGUUGUAGGCGUCCCCUUCCACUAUAGCUGACUUAUUCUGUUAUGAGAAAGAUCAUCUAAAAGCGUAGGAUUGAACCCAAGGAGGAUCGAGAUAACCGGAGGCUGAAAUCUCUCCAUCAAAGACUCUAUUUUCUCAACUCUAUUUAUUUUUACAAUUUCAAUUUCAAUUUACACAAUCUCAAUUCACCCAAACUUUUAAUUUUAUUUUUUAUUUUUUUCUAGGUACGCUAUUUUUCUUGGGUACGACUCUGCCCGGGAUAUCGAGAAACAGGAAUUUGUGUAAAUUCAGUUCCUGAGGAUUUGAUCCUACCUCCCUUAUACUAGGGAUAGGAUAUUUUUUGUGCUCUCAACGAUACAUCACGUGUUCAUUCAACUUGAGGUUGAUUGUGGGUUUGCUUAUGCCAGAUAAAUCUCAAAAUCUGGUACAUUUAAGGUGACUACUACUAGUAGUCAAGUUGAAAGAAGUGGGACAACUUAGUUGGGGAUCAGUGGUGCUGGAAACAAUGUACCGAGAAAUGUGUCAAGCGACGAAACCAAAAAUAGUUAAAAUCAAUGGUUGUAUGCUCCUUUUUUCAAUCGUGGGCAUGGUAUCGAUUACCAUUUUUACACCCCCAAGUUGACCCCCUUACGAAUUCCAACUCGUAAUAUGGUAAAAUUUAUUUGAUAAUAUCAUUAUCAUUGUAAUUUUUCAUUGUUGUAAUGUUGAAAUGAAAUAUUAUUGGAAUAGGUGGAACAAUCGCACGAGGCACACAUGUAUACCGACCGAGUUCGAGGAUAUCCGACUAGCUUUAAAUCAACAAACCAAAGAUGAGGUUAGUUUAUGAAAUUCAAAGUUAUAUAAUAUUUAUUUCAGCAUUUGAAAUUAAAUAUUAAGCACGUGAUAAAAUUUAUAAAUUCAUACUACAGUUUGUAUGAUGCUAUAUGUGGAUUCGAAAAUUCAAGAAUGCAUCCCGGAUUAAUUUUGUCUAAUCGUGUAACGCCUCAAAAUUCUUUAAAGUUUUGGGUAAUUAUUUAUGUCAAGUAAACUAAUUUUCUUUAGCGAUUAAGUGUUACGGAUGUGUACUUGAGGUUCUAUGUUUGAUUCCUUUUCCUUGAAUUUUGAGUAUUUUUAUUCCUAUACCUAGCUUGUCACGUUAAGGUUAUCUUUAAUUUUUCGUAAGUUAUUAACAAGAAUGAGCCUACUGGUUUAGUGGUAAUGCCUUAGCUUACCUAUGGGUCCUAAGUUUAAAUCUCUUAGUGCCUAAAACGAAAUUAUUUUUUGUUUCCCUCAUCCCUAAAACAUCUCAUGUUGUCGUCCCACUUUUUCCACUCCCUCCUCAUUCUUCAUUUUCUGUUUGCUAAGUUUUCUCUCUGACAUUUUCCCCUCCACUUUUCCAUUUCUCUUUCAUUUUGACAAAUUUCUCCAUAAACAAACCAUAGUGAUUUUUCUUUCUUUGAACCUUUCUUUGUUGUCAUUCCUCUGCUACUGUUUAUUGUCGCAUUAUCUCUAUUGUGUCGUUGUUUCAUUUAUGUUGUUUUCAGUGCGGUGUUUUUGAACGAGGAGUUUGUAUUUUCGUCUCAAUGUAAGUACUGUAUGUGCAUUUUUCCUUGUGAUAAGGUUAAUUAUUUCUUUUUUAUGUGAAGGGUAGGAGGUUUUAAUUGAUCUAUAAUCUUUGUUUUUGAUCGUUUUUUGGUUCUUAUAGUUGAGGAUCUUGCAAUGGUUACCCCUCCAACAAGUUGAGUGUAGUGGGAAUCAUUCUUAUUCGAGGGUAAGUGGUUGAAUACCCUAGAUUGAGGUUGUUUUUUUGUAGAAUUUGUAAGGGUCGAAUGCCUUAGCUGCAUUUUGGUCGAAUACUUUAAUUGAGUAAGGGUCGAAUGCGUGUUUGGUUCUUGAGUGUCUAUAUGUUUAAUUAAUUAAGUGGAUGUCGUGUAUAGGUUUCGGCUCGUUGCAAUAGUAAUAACAUCUCAGAAACACUCAGGUGUGUGUUCUAACCCAGAAAACUCUGGAAAAAAUCAUGGAAAACUGGAAAAUGCAUGAAAAACCAAAGGUGACAAUCGACGCUACACGACCAUGUGUCUAGCCAUGUGCCCGAUCGUGUGAGCAGGCACAUUUUCAUAGCUCAUGUGGGCAUCUAUAUUCACAACUUGUGUAAACAAUUUUAUCCUACGUAUCCAAAGUAAAUUCGCUAUAGUUCUUCAGGUAAUAAAUGAAAUAUUCUUAAUGAAUAUAAAUAUAUAUUCUCCUUGAUUUGAGCAUGGAUCCUUAGGUUCUUAAUGCCAAAGAUCUUAUAUGUUUUAUGUUUAAGCUUAUGCUAUUGAACUAACCAUUUUGAUGGUGGCAUGGAUUGUUUAAGGUGCCAAGGAAUUCAAAAAUUCCUGUAAUUAAGUUUCAAUUCUUGAGCAUAUUAUUUGUUGGGUAAGUUGUAUAAUAUUCAUAUUUAUAUAUGUGUAUGUAUAUCAAAACUUGUAUUGUCUAAUAUUAUAUAUAUUUAUAAGUUUGAAUGUAUUCGUUGUCAUUUUUUAAGUGACACUAACUUAUUGAAUUAAAAAAUAAAUCUCAUCUUUUAUAAAACAAAUAAUUAUAAACACAAACUAUCCUCCUUUUAAAUCCAUUAUCCUAAAAUUUAUCAAUUUAUUUUGAGAAAGAAAACCAAAAAUAUAAUAUUUUAUUAAUAUAAAUAUAAUUUUUCAACCACCAACCAGGUCUCACUAUAUCUAAUGUAUAUGAAAAAAUUUAAUCAAUAUUUUAACAACUAAGUUAGUGGUCAAGUCAAUCAGAUCAUCAGCUCCAUCAUCAAUCUAAUAAUUAAUUAAAUGAUUAAAAUAUUUUAAAAUUAAAAAAUAUAAAACAAAUUCAAUCAUCAAUUUUUUAUUCCAAUUUUCGAUUUUUUUACCACCUUCAAACAGUUCACUUAGACACCGACUCAACUGGAAAGAAAUUGCUUGGUUCCUUCUCGUGCAAACAAUGCGUAAGAGACUAUCCAUAUAUACAUAUACGGUAAUACUACCCAUACUUUCUUUGGCACAUUGUUAUAUCAACUACUUUUCAUAUAAUAAACUAUCAAGUAACCCAAGUUAGUAACCUAAUUAAAGUUAAACCGAUGGCCGCAGUCUCCAUUAAUUUGAGCUUCAGACCAAGCUUUUUUUCGUCCACAAAUUUUGACCCAAGUCGAUAAACUGCCUUGUUCUUGCAUUAGAGAACCAUAACUCUUUAACCUUAAAUUCUCACAGUCCCUUUUAUUUUCUCUCAAAUCAAGGAGGGGGAGGGGGGGAUCUCAAGUUUUUGUAGGACAUUUUGUGUGCAAAAGACGGCUAUGGAGUACUCAAUUGUUUCUGAGUUUGAAGGGACUCUUCUGAAAGACCAGGACCCUUUCUCCUACUUCAUGUUGGUGGCAUUCGAAGCCUCGGGUUUCAUCAGGUUCACUUUGUUGCUGUUGACUUGGCCAGUGAUUCGGUUUCUCGAUGUGUUGGGCGUGGGAGAUGUGGGGUUGAAGUUGAUGGUGUUUGUAGCAACGAUGGGGCUUCGGGUUUCGAAGACUGAAUUGGUGUCUAGAGUUGUUUUGCCUAAGUUUUAUAUGGAUGAUGUUGAUAUGGAGGCUUGGAGAGUGUUUAGUAGGUAUGAUAAAAGAGUUGUGGUGACGAAAAUGCCUAGGAUUAUGGUGGAAAGGUUCGUGAAAGAGCAUUUACGAGCCGAUGUGGUUGUCGGAAGUGAACUUGUGGUCAACCGGUUCGGGUUUGCUACAGGUUUUGUUAACGGUGAUAUCGGUUCUAUCUCUAGUAAAGUUGCCAAGUUGUUUGUAAAUGAUGAGCUUUCCACGCAACCACGGCCAGCGGGUGGAAAGCUUUGGACCCGAUCUUCUUCUUCAUGAACCCUAGACCGUUUUACGAAGUGACAUUCUUGGACCAGUUGCCAGCGGAAGCUACAUGUUCGUCAGGGAAAAGCCCGCACGAUGUCGCUAAUUAUGUGCAAAGAAUCUUGGCCGCUACGUUAGGGUUUGAGUGCACAAAUUUUACGAGGAAAGAUAAAUACAUAGCAUUGGCUGGAAAUGACAAAACAGUUUCAUGCACUUCUCUUGAAACGUGGUGAGCACAUUUAAACCUUUUCUUCAAUGAAAGAAAAAAAAAAGAGAAUUUUUUGUUAAUUUAUUGGAAUAAAUUUAAUUAAUUGUGUUUUUUGGCCGGGUUGUUAAUUUGUAAGGAUGAUUUGUGGAAUUGUUGAAUAAUUUGUGAGGAUGAUUUGUGGAAUUAAGUUUAUAUUGAGGGUUAAUGUUGUUAAUUUUUCCUUUGGAAUAAAUUUCAUUUUGUAAUCACCUGCUACCAGUUCUAUAUAUGUUAAAUGGCAACAUCUUUAAAUGAUUUAUGUAAAUUUAAUUUCUUGUAUCUCGAUUGGAAUUAUAUAUACCGAUUAUUAUAUAAAUAUAUUUAAAAUUAAUCUACGUUUGAAGCUCAAUGCCAUGCCCAAGAUGUGGGUUUGAGUCAUAGAAAUUAUUAUUAAUUGUGUGAGAGUUAGUAUUAAAAGAAAUUGGACUUAAUAUAUCAUUCAGUAUAUGAGUUUGACAGUUUUUUCUAAUGUGCCAUUUGUGUUAUAUUUUUAUCUUUAAUACUUGUAUUUGACAAAAGUUAUAUAUUUUAGUACAAAAAAAACGGUGUUAACUUUUUAAUAUUUAAUUUGGAUUUUAGGGUUGUUGUGAGGAAAGGUAAUAGCUAAUAUUAUUAAGAGUGAGCUUGGAUGGGCGAUUAGGUGCGGUGCGUUUAGUUUACUUUUUGUCUCACGCUACAGAAUCGCUACAGUAUCUAAUCUCACCGCCACCGCUGUUUUUACACUAACAGCAGGUAAACGCACCGCCCAUCCAAACUCAUCCUAAGUUUAAAUUUUCAUGAUUUUGUUAAUACAAUAGAUUUAGUGUUAAUUGUAAAUUUGUUUAAUUUUAUGUUCAAUUUGUCAAAUAAAGUCCGAUAGAUGUGAUUUAAUUCGAGUUUUAAGAUAGUUUUGAUGAAAAUUAAUUCCUAAUAUUAUUAGAUAAAUUAUGAAUUUUCAUUAAAUCAACUUUAAAACUCGAAUUAAACACUAAAAAUUACCAUUGUUAUCUUUAGGCACUAAAAUGUAUAACUUUUGUCAAAUAUAGAUAUCAUAUUGGACAAAAAAUAAUAUAAGUACCAUAUUAAGAAAAUAUUGCCAAACUUAUAUACCAAAUUAUGCAUUAAGUCGAAAACCUAAUAUAUGUUUCAAGUAGAGGUGAUCAUGGGCCGGGUCGGAUUUGGGUCGGGUCCAGUUAAAAUUUUAGGCCCGUUUUCUAGGCUCGGGCCUGGCCCGACCCGAAAUAUGGGCCUAAAAUUUUGUUCAAUCCCAACCCGAAAGAAAAUUGCUAAGUCCAAGCCCGGCCCAGCCCAUAUUAAAUUUUACAACACCAAAAAAGUAUAUAUUUAAUAUAUAUAUUUGAUUAAAAAGUAUAUUUGAUUAAAAAUAAAAAUAUAUAUAUUUAACACAUAAUUCGGGCCGGGACGAGUCAGGCCCGGGCCAAAAAAGUUUUACCUGAGGCCCGGCCUAUUUUUUAAACGGGCCUCGUUUUUUUGCCCAAACCCAUAUUUCGGACCUAUAUUUUUACCCGAACCCUCCUAUUUUUCGGGCGGGUCGUCGAGCCGGGCCAGGUAACCUAACCCAUGAUCAUCUCUAGUUUCAAGAUUUAAAAAAGAAAUUCGAAUAAUCAAUCUAAUUUUUAUAUUUUUUUAUUAGCCCAAUGAUUCAAUUAAACAUCCAAAAGUCAAGUUAUGAAGUUUGAUUCAAAAAUGGGAGAAUUUAAAAAAUAAUGAUAAUAAAUAUAGUAAUCUUAGAAUAUAAGCUUAGACAAAUAUAAUAGUCACAUUUGUCUAAUAUGUUUUUAUUCUUCCACCCUUAAAUAGGAGGAUAAUAUGCUUCAACGCACUUGAACUCAUGUCCUCCUGUAUAAGCAACAAUAUUGAUGUCAAUCAAGCUAAGACUCAAUCAGUAUAUAUGACUUAUGUUUACGGUAACAUAUUAACAUUUAAAAAAUUGUCUUGAUUUAAAAUUUUAAUUAAAAAGAUUAUAGAAUUAUUAAUUAUUAAAUUAAGAAUAGCAUGCCUAAAAAGGGAUUUGGAUUAACUAUUUACAAAUAGGAUAAAUUUCAUAGUUUGUUACUCAACUUUCAAAAGUUUUUAUUUUGGACAUUGAAUUUUUUUUUUCAUUUUAGACAUCGUCAUUAAAAACCUUUUUCGUUUUAGGAAAUGUUAUUAAAACUAUUUUUAUUUUGAUCACCCGUUGUUAAUUCAAUGUUAUUAUACAUUUAUUUUAGUCAUUCAACUUUGAUAAGUUUUCAUUUUUUCCACUUAUUUUAUCUUUUUAAUUGUUUUAGAAUUAAUUUUUUUAGUAAAAGGGAAAACCUGGGUUUAUAGGAAAAAAAUAGAUUUUUACAUAGAAAAAUCAUUUACCUUUUUAAUUUUAGUGGCAGUGGUGGAUUGUUCAAGGCAUCAAUCUUCAUCGCUGCUUGCAAGAUAACCUAAGAUUGUCAGACGGUUUGCAUCUCCAUAUCGGCUGAGACAACUACUUCCCCCCUUGGAGUGACUAGAAUAGAAAGUUCAGAAGAGAGGUAAGAAACAAGAGGUAUCGAUGUUGUCUGGGUUACCUCCGGUUAUGAUGUGCUUUGGGAAGUGAGCAUUUCCCUGUUUUCACCAUCAUCCCUCUGAACCUAGGGAUUGGAUGUCCCCUCACCAGUUGAUUGUCGUGAUUGUUGUUGCUUUUCAUACUCUCCAACAGAUGUGAUCUUUACACAGGCCAUGGUCAGAGAACUUGAGAUUUCUUACAGAGAGAGUUAAGGUUUUGUGAAAGAACCAAGAACUUGGAAACAAGAAGGAUGGUAAGGCCUUCAGGGAAUUUAGAGAUUCAAAAUCAACAGCAAAAAUCCCAAAGGAUAUGAUUGGGCAUUUAUAGCAAGUUGUCAUUUCCCAAAAUAUUAAUGUUACCUUCAAAAAAAAACUUGGAGCCAAAAACAAUAUUUUAUUAGCCUCCAAAAUUUCAGCGAAUAAAUAUCAACAUAAUUAUCACAAAAUACACCAAAAUGGCAUAUAACAUAGUCGUGUGGAUGCCUUCCAAAAGAGUCAUCCCCUUCAAGCUUGAUGUACCCCAACUGAGCUUCUCAAGCUCUCAAACCUAUUUGAAAUUAAGGAUUUGGUGAACAUAUUAGUUAACUGGUCUUUAGCGGACACAUACCUUAGCUCAACAGACUCAUUCUCAACCAACUCUUGAAUAAAUAGGUGUCUGAUAUCAAUUUGCUUUGUUCUUGAAUGCUACACAAGAUUCUUUGAAAUGUUUAUUGCAUUAAUGUUGUCACAAUAGGUCGUGACAAUAGAUAAUGCAACCCCAAAAUCCUCCAUCAUCUGCCUCAUCCACAGAAAUUGAGCACAAAAACUGUAAGUAGCAAUGUACCCUACUUAAGCUGUUGAGAGAGAUCAAUCCUUGCUUUCUGCUAUACUAAGAGACAAGAUUGCUUCCCAAGUAAAAACAUAAUCUAGAUGUGCUUUUAUGAUCAUUUAUAUUCCCAACCCAAUCAGAAUCAAUGUAUCCUACUAAGCAUAAUGCACUUUAUUUAGUAAACCAAAUGUCAAGAUCAAAUGUACCAUGAACGUAUCUAAUGGUUCAUUUGGCUGCCUUGACUUGGGAUUCUUGUGGAUUGGCCUGGUAUCUGGCACGAACACUAAAGCACAAAUCAGGACAACUGGCUGUGAGAUAUAGAAGACUGGCAAUCAUGCUUCUGAAUGUGGUUAGGGAACUGGGCACUCCCUCAACAUCUGUGCACGGUUUCUCAUUGACAAACAUUGGUGUCCCGGUUGGCUUAGAGUUCUCAAGUUCGAGCUUCAUCACAAGAUUUCUUGCAUAUUUCUCAUGUGAUAAGAAUGUCUUAUCUUCCAAUUACAUGAUUUGUAAUCCAAGGAAAUAUGAUAGCUCUCCUACCAUGCUCAUUUUGAACUCACUUUGAACUCACUUUGCAUGAUCUUCACAAAGGAAUCCUUAGCAACAGUUGAUGUAGUACCAAAUAUUAUGUCACCCACAUAAAUUUGGGUCAUGGUUGUAGUCCCUCUAUGCCUUUGAAUGAACAAUGUCUUGUCCACAAAACCUCUCUGAAAACCUUGACAAAUCAAGUAUUGAGACAGUCUCUUGUACCAAGCUUGAGGAGCUUGUUUCAGUCCAUCUAGUGCUUUACUUAGUUUGUAAACAUGAUUUGGGUUAGUAGGAUCCUCGAACCCUUUAGGUUGAGCUACAUACAUCUCGUCAUUUAGAAAUUCAUUCAAGAAGGCACUCUUAACAUCCAUUUGAUACAACUUGAUGUUAAGAUGUGCAGCUACAAAAAGCAAUAAUCUGAUAGCCUCAAGUCUAGCAACAGGUGCAUAAGUUUCUUCAAAAUCAAUAUCUUGGAUUUGUUACAAGUGAUAUUUUCCUGCUCAUCUGUUCUGUUUUUGAAGAUCCACUUUGUACCAAUUAUGUUGCAAUCAGUGGGCCUUGGCACCAGCUCUCAAACCUCAUAUCUCUCAAAUUGUUGUAACUCCGCUUGCAUGGCCUGAAUAUAUAUAUUUAUUAAGAAAGAUAAAAUUUACUCAAUUGUAAAUAUAAUAAUAAACAAUAAAAUAUAUUUUCUUCAAUUCAUAUACAUAUCAUAUAAUAAUAAAUUUUACACACAGUAAGCUCUUUAAUUAUUUUAUAUAAAAUAACUCUAAUAAUAUAUAUAAUUCAUGCUUUUUAUAAGAUAAAUCUAAAUUGUGUUGUCAUCCUUUAAAACUAAAAUGAAUUAUUACAUUUGAAAUUAAAAUAUUUAUAUCUUACUGUAGUAGGCCCAAUUUGUCCGGGCCCAAAACUAAAUAAAUAAAACCAAAAAAUAAAAGAGUCCAAGUCCAAAUUAUUACAAACUCAAAUAAAAACCCUAAGCCCAAUUAAUAGGCCCACAACCUAAACUCAUUCUCAGAACCCUAAUGUCCCAUAUGCGUCGCACCCCCCUCCUCGUGCCUCCGUAGCUCGCUCGCCACCCGAAGCCUGACAUGCGUCUGCGGCUUUGCACAAAAAUGGCAAGAGUUAGCCUUUCAACGUCCGUUGACCUUGCCUGCAAAAAAAAAGACAGAAACGAAAGCAAGCAAAACAGCAAGAGAAACAGCAGCGAAAAGUAGCAAACAGUAACAUAGACCAACAAUGUAAUCGUGGCUAUAAAAGCCACGAAAAUAACCAUGUACUGCUACAGACAAUCAAAUACAAAAAAAGAAGUUGGAAACAGAUUCGAAAGAAAACGAAGGUGCUUUAUUUUUAUAUAUUUUUAUUUCAAAAUAAAUAGAAUAAUAAAUAAAAAAAAGAAAUAUGUUACCUUUAAUGCCGCUGACGGAGAUUUCUCCAGUCUUGAGGGUGGCUGGGUCAAUGGGCUCGUCGCAAACCCCACCGACGGUGACGGGGAGCCGAAAGGCCCUUGAGUUUUAUCAUUUCUUUUCUUCUUUUCCAGACUUUCGGAGGUCCUUCGGGCCAUUUUAACCCCAAAUCUGUGCUCCACUCGAAAAGAGGAGCAAAAAGGGGUGGUUUUGGCAUUCCUGGCCACCGCGAACGGCAGCGCCAUCGCCAGUGACCAGCGACCGGUACGGUGGCCAACGGCCGGAACCCUAGGCUGGAGAAAAGGGAAAAUUUGAGAGAAAAGGGAGUAUUUUUUAUUAUUUUUUUUAAAAUAGGAGAGAAAUGAGUUUUUUUUUAAUUUGGCUUAAAUAGCCUAAAUAAAACGACGUCAUUCUGAUUUUUAGGUUAAGAGGAAAAAACGACAUCGUUUUGACCUCUAACCCGUGACCUGACCUAGUUGCCUUCAGGAUCCGCGUGUUUCUGCGGUGAAAGGGGUAUUGGCGCACAGGGUCAUUCCGCUUUUGCGCCGUAAUGCAAUUUGGUCCCUGCUGUUCUUUAUAUUUUGGCCGCAUAAUUUUCUGAUUGGUUCAUUUUAGUCUGCGCUGAAACGCUGCGCAUGAGGGCUGGGAAUAUUUUCCCAGUCAGUCCCUUAUUCCUCGAACGUGUUCUAUUUUGGUCCCUAGUAGCGUUCUUUUUUAUUAUUAUGAUUUUUACCCCGAAUUUCAUUCCGAUUUCAGUAUAAUCCUUAGCUUGUUUAACUUCAUUUUUUUGUUAUUUUUAAAAAAAAAAGGUUUUAUUUAAUAUUUAAUUUAUUUAUUUAUUUACUUACUUUCAAUUUUUAAUCUAACUUAUAUUAGUUUUUUUAUUUAUCUAUUAUUUUUUAUUGGCUUGUUUAUUUUAUUUUUGCCAUUAUUAGUGCUAUUUUAUUCAAUUAUUUAUUUAGUUGCUAUUUUUCAGAUACUUUCAAAUUUAGACUUAUUAUUAUUGUGGUUAUUGUUGUUGUUGUUAUUGUUAUUAUUAUAUUGUCAUUUGCAUCAUUAUUCUUGUUUAUGCAUGUUAACAUUAGGAUUCAUUAGUAUCAAUGCUAUAUAUAUGUUAUAUUUUAUUAUGCGUAUUAUGUCAUUGUUAUUUUAAAUGUAUGUUGCAUUAUCAUCAUUAGCCGUGUAUGACCCCUUUUUAUGUCUUAAACGAUUUCUUUUUAAACAUAAUCAAAAUUGCACAUAUAUCAUUUUUAAAUAUUUCAUUAGUUUUCAUUUAAAUUUGUAAAAAAGGGGAAAAUCUUGAAAACAAAGGCAAUACUUCGUAUUUUGGAGAUUUGAGAAAUCGUACCCUAAUUUACGGGGUCUCGAUCUUUUCGUUGAACCUAAAUAGCCAAAUAUUCGUUUCAAAAUUGAAAUACAAUACCAUUUUUUAAAAGGCAAGCUUAUUCUCGAGGGCUCAAAGUAUCGCGUCCUAACUUACGGUAUAUGAUAUUUUGUUAUCUUGAGACGAGAGAGUCUCUAAUAAUCAUUUCGAUUUAUUCAAGCAUUUUUCUAAAAAAAUUUUUUGAAAAAGGAGGAAUCGUAUUUUUAAUUCUUUCCAAACUUUCGACAUUCGACACUAAGACACUAAUUAAUCAGCUAGGUACCAAUUUUGGGCGUUACAAGGGUGCUAAUCCUUCCUCGUACAUAACCGACUCCCGAACCCAUCUUUUUGAAUUUCAUGAACCAAAAUCGUUGUUUUAAUAAAUAAAAUCAUUUAUUAAAACAACCAUUUUUCGAGGUGACCCGAUCACACCUCAUUAAAAAGGAUUGGUAGUGACUCCCAUGUUCGUUUUCGUUUUCAAAACCAAAGUCGACCCUUUUACAAAAAAAUUGUUUCGACAGCUUGGCGACUCCACUAGGGAACUAAAAAUAAGAGAGUCAAGCCACGUGUUGAUUACUUUUUGUCUUUUUGUCAAAAAUUGAAAACUUGGUUUAAAUUUACGAUCAUUUUGUUGCAUUUCAUUUGUUUUUGUUACGAUCUUCAUCAUUUUGGUUUAUAAUCACUUUACUGGUUUGAAUUUUUGACAUGUUCCUGCACAUUGCAUUACAUGACCGCUCGAUUAUACCCUUUUAAGUGAGAGUGAGAAACUACUCCUUCGUGAGGUUUUCACCUCCGCAUGGGAUAGUGAAUCGCUUUCAGGAUAUAUACGUACCUAUGUCUUCGUGAGAUUUUCAUCUCCGCAUGGCCAUAGGGAAAUGUAUUCCCCUAAACUGAACUUGGUCCAUAUGAGCCUAUAAUGGGUGAGGAUCGAGGAAUCUGCCAGUUUAGGUACCUUUACUUUAGAACCAAACCGCAUAUAGUAAGCCCUAAGAGCCUACCCUAGGUAGAAUCGCACCAAACCCGUAGUGGUCAUCCAAAUAGGUACUCUUUUUUUUACUUAUUUUUUUUUGUAUUGACGUGUUUUCUUGUGCUUUGGUUAUGAUUGCAUUGAGUUUUCAUCAUAGAAAGAGGUGUUGAUUCAUGUUCAGUUGUUAAAUAGUGAGCUUGUCAUGGAAAAUAGAUUUCUUAAUAAAGUGGGAGACAAUGCGGUCUUCUGAAUAUGGUCCGAAAAAAUGUAAUAAGGGAAGGGUGAUAGUCUGAUGAAUGAAUACACGACUUUACUUUGUUGCCCGUGGAUUCAAGCUGAAAAAGAUUAUUCAAGAGCCGUCAACGUCUCAGCUUUCUUAAAGAAGCUAACGAGCCUCACGAGGAUGAGUGAACAAAGGGUCGUGACUUAGAUCAAGCAAAAUGAAUAUAGAAGAGGCACCCCUUUGAAGAGCUCGCGAGAUUCGAUCUUAACAUAUGGAUAUCAAUGCCUUCACUUUGAGUAUUAGGACAAGGCCGUAUAUGUAACUAUUCAUUUUAUGUAAAGAGAUUUGUUUUCUAGUAAAGUUGUUCUAAUAGAAUUGAAUUGGAAUCAAUGUCGCUUUUUGUAUUCAUUCCAUUCAUCUGCAUUACAUUUCAUUGCAUGCAUUAAAUUUCACAAAAUGACCCUAAUUAAUCAAAAUUGUUACAAUUACCCUGGAAACUAACGAAAAUCCACAAACUAAAUAUCGCUACGGUACCUACCGCAAAACCAAAGCAAUGGAUUAAAUAUUGGAAUUAUUAGAACAAAUGCAAAGAGAUAUGCAGGCGCAGCUGCAAGAGCAAUUAGCAAAAGUUCAACCAGACAUAAGGGAUCAGAUGCUAGAAUCUCAAAAAAGUAUGAUGAGCCAAGUAACGAAGUUACUAGCCGGAGGGCUUGAAAAAGGGAAAGGCCUAGUGGUUAAAAGUGGGGAGGAUAAUGAAAAUCUUGCUUAUCCCCCAGGUUUUACCCUGAUAGGUGUCCACGCCCAACCAGACGCGCAUCCACAAGGGGCACCCAUUAUUAUAACACCCAACAAUAUCAGACCGAUACCUCGACACCAAUGAAUUACCUGACAGGUUCAAGUUCCAAUCCGGGGAACAAUCCAACCAAUCAUGUAGUUCCUGAUCUAGACGAAAUGACAGAAAUAGAAAAAACAAAGUUGGAACUGCCAAAACAACUCAAAGAUCGAUACAGGAGGUUGGAGGAAAAACUCAGAGCAAUGGAAAACGCUGAUUACCAUUGCGGGGUUGACGCCAAGGAUCUGAGUUUUGUCCCAGAUCUAGUACUCCCACUGAAAUUCAAGACUCCAGAAUUUGAAAAGUGUAAUGGGACUAGUUGUUCUGAAGCUCACAUCACAAUGUUCUGCCGAAGAAUGACGGGAUACGUUAAUAAUGAUCAACUAUUAAUUCAUUGCUUCCAAGAUAGUCUGAUUGGGUCGGCUGCCAAAUGGUACAACCAACUGAUCUGUACCAAAAUUCACUCAUGGAAGGACUUGGCAUAGGCUUUCAUGAAGCAAUAUGACCAUGUGAUAGACAUGGCGCCCGACAGAAUCACACUGUAGAAUAUGAAAAAAAGCAAAGUGAGAGAUUCAGACAAUAUGCCCAAAGAUGGUGAGAGGUAGCAACACAAGUCCAGUCACCUCUUUUAGAGAAAGAAACCAUGAUGCUUUUCAUCAACAUUCUGAAAGCCCCAUUCAUUAACCACAUGUUGGCAAACACUACCAUGAGCUUCUCAGAUAUGGUAAUGUUCGGCGAGAUGAUUGAAAACGCGGUAAGAAGUGAGAAGAUAGAUGCGGGGGAAAGUGUCAAAAGAUCAACCCAAAAGAACAAGGAAAAUGAAGUGAGUAACCUGAGCAUGUAUAAUAAAGGGUAUUUCAAAUCGGUUACUAUAGGCCAGCCGAGAACCAUAACCACUAGCUAUCAAGGCCCUUCAAGGCAAUAAUCCAACUCAAAGCCAAGCAUAGAAUAACUCCAGUUCUCACCCAUCCUGAUGACAUAUAGAGAGUUGUAUCAUAAUCUAUUUGAUGCACAUGUGGUAUCCCCGUUCUAUAUGGAACCCGUGCAACCUCCGUUUCUGAAAUGGUAUGAUGCAAAUACCAAUGCGAAUACCACACAGGAAUAACAGGACACUCAAUUGAAAACUGCACUACAUUUAAAAAGUUAGUUGAAAGGUUCAUCAAGAUGGGCAUCGUGAAGUUUGACGAUCCAUCAAAACCUAACGUGGCAGAAAAUCUGUUACCCAGUCAUCCAGACCUAGGGGUAAACGCGAUAAUUGAAAAUAGAGGAAAGAGAACCAAAAUUAAUGUUGCAGAAGUAAAAACCCCACUGAAAUGGGUUUUGAAACAAAUGAUAGACAUGUGAUUAAUCAGUCAGAAUUCGGAAAAGAGACCAAAAGGGAUGAGGUGCUACUGUGAGUUCCACGCUGAAGAAGGUCAUGAAAUCCAGGAGUGCGCUGAAUUCAAAGCUUUGGUAUAGAGCCUAAUGGAUAAUAAAGAGUUGGAAUUCCUUGAAGAAGUCAAAGGCCCAGGAAUAUGAAUAUUAAUGUCGUAUUCGAAAAGAGAGUCGGGAAAGAGAAUUUAUCAGAGAAUAUUUUGAACAAUGGGACUGUAGAAAAUAUCAUUGUAUGUUUUAGACCUAAUUCGGAGUAAUGUCCAAAACACGCUUAUUACUCUAAGCCUAGGAGUAAUAAGAAUCAUUUUGUGUGAUAGGCUUAUGUCCAACAUUUUUAUUUCAAUAAAAUGUAUUUUUUACAUUUUUAUUUCAAUAAAAUAUAUUUUUUUACUUACUUCGAGCAAAUAUUUUUUUAUUGUUUCCAUUUCAUUCAUAAUUAUACUAUAUAGAUAAAUAUCCUUAGAUUCUUUUGUUCUUUGGAUCUUUAUUUGUCUCUAUAACAGGUUUCCAGAUAUCAAUGAUAUGAGCGACACUGCUAUUGACUCAGAAUAUCCUUUUGAGCAAGAUAGGUGUCCAGAGAAAUCUCAAGACUUUGAAAAUAACCGAUACUGUAGCUUAUCUCCUGAUUUGUUAAGGAUGGUAGAAUAAGAUGAGAAACAGAUCCUACCUUACAAAGAAUUAAUAGAACCCAUGGCUUUUAUCUAUGUGGGGCAGGGAUGUCAUUGGGUCAAUCUCACCAGAAGCUUCUGGCAGUAAUCGAUUCAUCUUUGUAGUCGUUGAUUACUUCACUAAGUGGGUGGAAGCUGCUUCAUAUGCCAAUGUCACAAAGUCAACAGUCAGCAAAUUCUUGAAAAAAGAAAUCAUAUGUCGGCAUGGAAUGCCAUGAAGGAUUAUAUCCAACAAUGCACUAAAUUUGAAGAACAGGACGAUAUCAAAAAUUUGUAGUCUGUUCAAGAUUAACACCAUAUCGCCCCAAAGCGAACGAUGCAAUGGAGGUAAAAAAAAACCUCAACUGGGGCAACACCUUUCUCUUUGGCUUAUCGUGGUUUUGCCCAUUAAAGUCGAGAUUUCUUCUCUCUGAGUUUUUUUGAAUCCAAUCCUGAUUGAAGAUAAUGGUUCAAAAUUAUCCGUCAUGGUCAAAUGAACCAAAAAUAAAUGAUGCAAGCUCACCAAAAUGGUUUACCUUAGAGAAUUCCAUGAGGGGGACUUGGUAUUGAAGCAUAUCCUUCCCAUACAAAAGGACUUCAAAACAAAGUGGAUGUCAAAUUGGGAAGGACCUUAUGUGGAAGGCCUUAUCUGGAAAAGCGUCGAUAUUGACCAAGAUGGAUGGCAAGAACCUGCCUAAUCCUGUGAAUUCUAAUUCAAGCAAGAAAUACUUCACUUUAAAAAAAGAAAAGAAAAGAAAAGAAAAUGAAAAUGAAAGGCCAAUGUGAAAAUCCGCAAAUGGCACUUUGAGACCAAAGGGGUUUUGAAUUGAAAACCCAGGAAUAGGCAAUUCAAGUUUUUAAUCAAAGGUGGGGCAUGUGGUAGUCUUGUCCUCUCUAAAUUAAUAAGAAGGAGUGAUGCUAUAUCUUAGGUCAUCGUCAAAGUCUUCUAGGACUUCUAAACACGUAUCAAGUUCAAAGGGUCCUCGAGAAAUUAUGUGCAGAGAAGCUCAUGCUACGAUAUCUGUGGCACCUAUUUUUAUCUUAUUCAUUUCGUAUCUUAGCAAAAUUUUUUAUCUUGAUUAAUUUAUUCAUUUCGAGCUUUGCUCUCAAUAAAAUUUCAUCUUGUCCAUUGCGAUAAUCUUUUUCAAGCAUUUUUCAUUGAAAUAAUAAUUAAUGGACUGAUAAUAUUCAAACAAAAAGAGUUCUGCAUAUUACUCUGAAAGCUUCUAAAUAGUACGAGGACCUGAAACAUGAUUAUUAUUUAGAAUUAACCAAACCUAAGGGUUGGAAACAUUUGGAAAGAAUAGUUUAAAUUGUAACUAUUUCUUCAGGUUUUCUGUCAAAGAUACCAGCUGAGCAAGAAGGCAGCGUAAUACGUCAGUGAUAGAACCUUGAUAAACAACGAGCAAUGACAACCUAAGCAUUAAAAGAGGAUCAUUCUCAAAAAAUGACAAUCUGUAUUCAUGCAAAUAUCAUUCAUACACACCUAGUUAGGAGCAUUUGAUUCAUUCUGAUCAUGACAUCCUAAUCACUAGACAUAAAUAGGUCCAUGAAAUGGAUUCUACAAGUCAUGUUCCCCAGAGAAAAGAUCAGCGAAACCACAAAUCCUGUAUCCCUGAAGUUGCAGUGGGAUGGAUUGAAGUCAUUAUGGCAGAUCUUAUCUUCCUGAAGUUGUAGUGAAGCAAAUUGAAGCCACCAGCCUUAUCUCCCUAAAGCUGCAGCGGAGUAGAUUGAAGAUAGCGAAUCUUAUUUCCCUGGUGUUGCAGUGGAACAGAUUAAAACUAAAAGUUAUAGCGAAUCUUAUCUUCCUGAAGUUGCAGUGGAGCAGAUUGAAGCCACUAGCCUUAUCUCCCUGAACUUGCAGCGGAGCAGACUAAAGAUAGCGAAUCUUAUUUCCCUGGCAUUGUAGUGGAACAGAUUAAAACUACAAGUUAUGGCGAAUUUUAUCUUUCUGAAGUUGCAGCGGAACAGAUUGAAGAUAGCAAAUCUUAUUUUUUGGCAUUGCAGUGGAGCAGAUUGAAGCCACCAGCCUUAUCUCCCUGAAGUUGCAACGAAGAAGAUUGAAAACAGCGAAUUUUAUUUCCCUAGUGUUGUAGUGGAACAGAUUAAAGCUACAAAUUAUGGCAGAUCUUAUCUUCUUGAAGUUGCAGUGGAGCAGAUUGAAGCCACCAGCCUUAUCUCUUAGAAGAUGCAGUGGGUUGGAAUAAGGCUACUUGAAGAGGAUGAGCACCAAGAAGUCAAGAUUCGGCGAGACUGGGUAAAAUUGGUCCUUCUUAAAAGUCUUUACUCCAUUCUCGUUACACAACAACGAGCAAAGAGGGGCAGCUGUAGCAGGCCCAAUUUGCUCGAGCCCAAAACUAAAUAAAUAAAACAAAAAAAUAAGAGUCCAAGUCCAAAUUAUUACAAACCCAAAAUAAAAACCCUAAGUCCAAUUAAUAGGCCCACAACCUAAACUCAUUCUCAGAACCCUAAUGUCCCAUGUACGCCGUACCCCCCUCCUCGUACCUCUACAGCUCGCUCACCGCCCGAAGCCUGACAUGCAUCUAUGGCUUUGCACCAAAAUGGCAAAAGUUAGCCUUUCAACGUCUGUUGACCUUGUCUGCAAAAAAAAAGAUAGAAAUGAAAGCAAGCAAAACAGCAAAAGAAACAACAGAGAAAAGUAUCAAACAGUAACAUAGACCGACAGGAAAAUAACCAUGUAAUGUUACAGACAAUCAAAUACAAAAAAAGAAGAAGUUGGAAACAGAUUCGAAAGAAAACGAAGGUGCUUUAUUUUUAUAUAUUUUUAUUUCAAAAUAAAUAGAUUAAUAAAAAAGAAAUAUAUUACCUUUAACGCUGCGGACGGAGGUUUCUCCGGUCUUGAGGGUGGCUAGAUCAGUGGGCUCGCCGCCAACCCCACCGACGAUGACGGGGAGCCGAAAGGCCCUUGAGUUUUAUCCUUUCUUUUCUUUUUUUCCAGACUUUCGGAGGUCUUUCGGGCCAUUUUAACCCCAAAUUCGAGCUCUACUCGAAGAGAGAAGCAAAAAGGGGUGGUUUUGGCAUUUUCGGCCACCACGAACGGUGGCGCCGUCACAGGUGACCGGCGAUCGGUACGGUGGCCAACGGUAGGAACCCUAGGCCGGAGAAAAGGGGAAAUUUGAGAGAAAAUGGCGUAUUUUCGAUUUUUUUUAAAAUAGGAGAGAAAUGAGUUUUUUUUUAAAAAAAAUUGGCUUAAAUAGCCUAAAUAAAAUGCACCGUUUUGAUUUUUAGGUUAAGAGGCAAAAACGACGCCGUGUUGACCUCUAACCCGUGACCCGACUUAGUUGCCUUCAGGAUCCGUGUGUUUCUGCGGUAAAGGGGAUAUUUCCGCACGGGGUCCCUCCGCUUUUACGCCGUAAUGCAAUCCGGUCCCUGUUGUUCUUUAUAUUUUGGCCGCAUAAUUUUCUUCUUGUUUCAUUUUAGUCCGCGUUGAAAUGCUGCGCAUGAGGGCUGGGAAUAUUUUCCCAGUCAGUCCCUCAUUCUUCGAGCGUGUUCUAUUUUGGUCCCUGGCAGCGUUCUUUUUUAUUAUUAUAAUUUUUACCCCGAAUUUCAUUCCGAUUUCAGUAUAAUCCUUAGCCUGUUUAACUUCAAUUUUUUGUUAUUUAAAAAAAGGUUUUAUUUAAUAUUUCAUUUAAUAUUUUAUUUAUUUACUUACUUUCAAUUUUUAAUCUAACUUAUAUUAGUUUUUUUAUUUUAUCUAUUAUUUUUUUAUUGGCUUGUUUAUUUUAUUUUUUCCAUUAUUAGUGCUAUUUUAUUCAAUUAUUUAUUUAGUUGCUAUUUUUCAGAUACUUUCAAAUUUAGACUUAUUAUUAUUGUGGUUAUUGUUGUUGUUAUAAUUGUUAUUAUUAUAUUGUCAUUUGCAUCAUUAUUCUUGUUUAUGCAUGUUAACAUUAGGAUUCGUUAGUAUCAAUGUUAUAUAUAUGUUAUAUUUUAUUAUGCGUAUUAUGUCAUGUUAUUUUAAAUGUAUGUUGCAUUAUCAUCAUUAGCCGUGUAUAACCCCUUUUUAUGUCUUAAACGAUUUCUUUUUAAACAUAAUCAAAAUAGCACAUAUAUCAUUUUUAAAUAUUUCAUUAGUUUUCAUCUAAAUUCAUAAAAAAGGGGAAAAUCUUGAAAACAAUGGCAAUACUUCGUAUUUUGGAGAUUUGAGAAAUCGUACCUUAACUUACGAGGUCUCGAUCUUCUCGUUGAACCUAAAUAACCAAACAUCCGUUUCAAAAUUGAAAUACAAGACCGUUUUUUAAAAGGCAAGCUUAUUCUCGAGGGCUCAAAGUAUCACGUCCUAACUUACGGGAUAUGAUAUUUUGUUAUCUCAAGAUGAGAGAGUCUCUAACAAUCGUUUCGAUUUAUUCAAGCAUUUUUCUAAAAAUUGUUUUUUUUAAAGGAGGAAUCGUAUUUUUAAUUCUUUCCAAACUUUUGACAUUCGACACUAAGACGCUAAUUAAUCAACUAGGUACCAAUUUUGGGCAUUACGAGGGUGCUAAUCCUUCCUCGUACAUAACCAACUCCCGAACCCAUUUUUCUGAAUUUCGUGGACCAAAAUCGUUGUUUUAAUAAAUCAAAUCGUUUAUUAAAAUAACCAUUUUUCGAGGUAACUCGAUCACACCUCAUUAAAAAGGAUUGGUGGCGACUCCCAUAUUCGUUUUCAUUUUCAAAACUAAAGUCAACCCUUUUACAAAAAAAUGGUUUCGACACUUACAAAAUUCAAUUUUAUUUGAUUUUGUUAAAGCCUACUCGGUACAAUCUGAACCUGAAUCUAAAAAAAUCUUAGCCUAAUCUGAAGAAAGCCCAACCGAAUCUACCUAUUUGCCACCUCUAAUUGAAAUCUAAUUCAACUCAUAUUAUAAUCAAAUUUAAUUUUUUUACCAAUUGCAUUUUUUUGGUCUAAUAUUUUAUUUAAAUCUUUUCAAAUAUUGAAUUUACCUUCAAGCUUCAACAACUCAAUUACUCGACUUUUAAAUAAGUUUAAUAAAAAAUAUUGAAUUAUUUAAAGAUCUAAUUCAGUAUUAAUAUCAAUUGAAAAUUUAAACACAAGUUCAAUGUAACCCUUUUUAUGGGGAUGUUAUGACAUUUUCCUUUCGAAUGACUAAUCUUUUAUUUUAAUGGGCCAUACACGCCAUAGCCUAACUUAAAUGAAUAAUGUAAGUGAAAAAGAUGUUUAUUCAUCGCAAAUCAAUCUAUACUAAAAUAUAAUUCACUUUCAAACACUGAUUGUGCUCUAGUUAUUAAAAGUAUUUAUGGUAACAUUAGAGAGGAUUCAAAUAGAGAUUUGGUGAUGCAAAUUUAAAAACUGCAUAGACACGAGUGGAGAGUGGUCAUUAAGCAAAUACCAAGAGAGGUGAAUUGUGACUAUGAUGUUUUAGCUGACUUGAUGAAAAGUUUUCCAAUUGGUGUUCGAAUUUUUCAUGUUGCUCCUUCAUUGAUUGAUGAUCAGAUACGGUUAAACAGACGUUUUCUAUUAUCGAUAAUUGAUUUUUCUUUUUAUUUUGUUGCCAAAAAAAAUAAGAAAUUAAACAAAUGGUAUUCACUUUAAUUUCUAAUUUCUAACCGGCCUUACCUAAACUUAGGCAAGAAAACUUUUCCUUAAAAACUUGAACAAAUAAACCACCAAUUUUUUCCCUUAAGAGACACCAAACGUUUCAAAGUUUUUCUAACCUACUUUCAAUUCUUCUUGCAAGCUUCCCGUAACCUAAAAAAUAGCUUAUUUGCAGCUGUUUUAUACAAAUUAAUUAAGUAACUGGAAUUGAGAGUUCUAAAGUUUUCUAGCUUCUAAGGGAUGAACAAGAAAUUACAGGCUUGCUAAGUAGAAAAUUGUGGUUCAACCCAUAUUUGUGUGACUUCUGAGCUAAUUUUGCAAAUAAAAAUGGUGGGUUAUAUCAAUUUUUAUCAAAUAAUGAUGUUUGAGUUUUAUAAUAAUAAAAUUGAAAAUUGCAAUUCUAAUUUUCUCCAAUACUUUUUUUUUUCUUUUUUUCAAAGUUAGUAUAAAGACAUGACUAGGUAUCAAUAUUGAUUUUUUUUCCUCAUCAUCAGAAUUAACUAUUAUAAGUACUAAAUUCAAAUUAAUAUGUUCACAUAUGAUUUACACAAGUGAGACUCGUACUAUAAUACUUAAGAUUUCAAGAUUUCAAGAUUUCAAGAUUUCAACCUUAUCAUUCGAUUAUAUUUAAAUUUUAAUACGUCAAUUUAUUACAAAAAUAUUUUUUUUUGAAAACCAUGUAAAAUUUAGAGGUAAUCGUAUAUAUAUAAGUAAUUGUUUAUAAAACCUUUCUAACAAGUUUACUUCUUCGCAUUAUAUAUUUUAUGAAAUAAAUUUUUGGAUGAUUAUUCAAUAAAGUGGCAAAGAGAUUUUUAAUUUCAUAAGUGAGUAAAAAAAAUUUGUGGUUUUAAUUUAUAUUUAAAAAUAAAAUAUAAAAAAUAUAUAUGAUGAUUUUCUUUAAUCUCACUAAAAUCAUUAUGUGGAUAUAUCAAAUAAUAAUCCAUAAAAUUUUAUCAUUUAUAGAUUAAUGUGCUUAAAAGUUAAUGUGUGAAAUAAUUAUAUACAUACAAAUAUAUAUAGGGGAAGCCAAAAAGAUUUUUGGAGAGUCAAAAUUAAAUUAUAAUUUUUUUGAGAUAAAAUUAUAAAAUUAUCAAUAUAUUAAUUUAAAAUUUUAAUGUUUUAAGCGGGAUUGAAUGUGAUUAUAAAUUUUACCAUCGUAUUAAAUUAAAAUUUUAUAUUUUUUAAUGAGAUUAAGCUAUAAAUUUAUCAUUCUAUAUAUAUAUAUAUGGGGAGAUGUAUGACAUUUUUGUGUAUUAAAAAAUUCCAUUUCUUCUUCAAUACUCAAACUAAGCUAUCAAAUAUUCAAUACAUCCCUUUUUGUUUUUUUUAAAUAUUUGGUAAACUGUUGUAGAGUUUUUAAAUCCCACAGAUUAACAGAUGUUCUAUAAAGAUAUAGUAAAAUAUUAAAAUAAAUAUUUUAAAAUUAUUUGUAGAAUAAAAAAUAUACUGCUAAUAUACUAAAUACUCAUCCUUAAUUAAAACACAUCAUAACAACAACUCAAUAUAAAAAUAUAAAAAAAAAUAUUAUGAGAAAGACAAACUAUAGAUUAACCCAUUAAAUAUUGGUUGGGCCAAGAGUUGAAACAAACCCUAACUUAUAGUAACUAUAAACACCAUAGAUGGGGAUAUGUUGAUGUUGGAAUUAUAUAUUUAUAUUUAUAAGAAGAUCAUUGUAAUAACUAACAAAUGCAAUUAAUUGGAUUUAUUAAAAGAAGUUAGAGAACAUCCCACCAAACAUUUUGACUGCCAAUAACACUGACAAAGACAUGUGGAUGUGUUAGAAUGAAAACCUGUUGAUGCUGGAAUUAUGUUAUUUAUAUCAAUUUAUUUUUUGGUUAUAUAUAGAAAAGGGAUAUAUAUGGUGGAAGUACAGCAAUCAAAUCAAUUUUGAUAAUAAUAAAAAAGUAAUUUAAUUAAUUUGAAUCUAAUUAGAUUCAAUUUUUAAUUAUAAAUUAUUCGAAUAAAUAACUUUAAAUUACUUGAAUUCAUGAUAGUUCGAUCUAAAAUUUUAAUUAAUAAAUUUGAAUAAUCAAAACUCAAUUAUAAAUUAACUCGAAGCAAAAUAUUUAUACUUGAAAUUACUUAAAAUAAUUCAAACCUAAUAUACAAUUACGACAUGAUUAAGAUAGGAUUAGACAUGUUAAAAGGAGAUUGUCAUAGCUAGACAUACAGAGUGGGUCCCUACCCUUUUAGGUUCUCUAACUGUUGGGUUUCUCAGCAAAGAUUUGAUCAAUGGUAGGCUAAUGGGUUAAGGACUUGGGGGCAUAUUUGGUAAACAACAUUAUCCAUUGAAAUUUAAUCUAAAAAUUUUAAUUUAAUAAGUUAAACAAUCCUUUAUUUUUUUUUUCCGAAACAGGAUAUCUAUCGCUAGAUGUAGUGAUUAAUACUUUUGCCGCAAGUGUGUUUUAAAGAAAUAAACAACUAACUAGGAAGUGUACUUCAUUCCGAUGAACAAGGAUCGAAAGUAAACUAAAUUGGAAUAGUGAAUAAAGAAAUUUGAAUCUAUGUUAGUAUUAUGAAUUAAAAUAAUAUAUAUUCAAGAGUUAAAAAUUUGUAUUCACUUUGAAUAAUGAUUAUAAUUUUUGAAUUUGUAAUAUCUAAAUUUGCAAAUAGCAUAUUUAAUAACAAUAUGUUAAUUUGAAAGUAAUUGCUAAGUAACAAGUUUCAGCAAAAGUGCUUGCAGAAGUUGGUACUUCUCCAAGCACAAAGAUAGCACAAAAUAAAACAGGGGACAAUAAAGUUUGUUUAUGUAGUUUUGUUUCCCUAUGUUUGCAGAGCUUAGUUCGAAGAGAAAUAUCUACUAUCUUUAACACUUACAACUAGUCUUAAAUCUAUCAUACCCUAGUGACAAUUUCCUCACUUUUGUAUCCUUUAAGACCAAUACUCUCCCCAUUAAAUUUACCCCUGUGAACUUAGCUUGUAAAACCACAACACAACAGUUUUACAAUCAAUCGCACUCACACAAAUAAUGUGCCUUACUUGAACAAUUAAAUGAUCUCUAUAUUCCAUACAUAAACCUAUACAAGUAUAUCAAUUGUAUAAAACUUUUCAAGAUUUACUAACAUAAUAAAGAUAUAUACCAAUCCCUAUUAUACAACAAAUUAACUAGUUGAAGACAAUAUAAUAACAAACAAUGUAAACAAAGACUCUUGGCAGCUAAGAAUUCAAUGUUCUAAUCUAAUCCAAUAUUCUCUCUCCAAGGGAUUAGAUAGGCAUGACCCAAUCCGAUCUGACCCACCAAAUAUGCUUCUCAAAGGGAUUAGACAACCACAUCUAGGGGCAUUCAAAUUUUGGUUAAAAUUGAAUUAACCAACUAAACCGAUCUAAUUUGGUUAAUAGGUCAAUUAAUCGAUCUAAUUCAGUCGAAGAUUAGCUAUUGAUUUUUUUGGAAGUUUGGUGAUGGUCACUAAACUAACUAUAAUUACAACAAAGGCAAGCGCACCUAUCAAACAAUAGUAUAGUUAUGGUGAAUAGGGAAUAUCGUAUCCACGAGGACUAAAAGUACUAGUAAUUACCGUUUUUUAUAUUAUUUAGCUGAUAAAUUGAAGUGAUGGUUUUUAAUCUAAAUUUACUAAUCUAAUUUAACUAUGAAUGUAAUACAGAAUGAAAUGGAAAAAUAAUCGAGGACAACCAAUGAGAAACACAAUACCCAGGAAAGAAUUCACCUAGACUUUGCCUAUUAUUCUGAAUCUGAAUUAAACGAUUUAUUCACUUGUGCCUUGAUCCGUAGAAAUCCCUAAAUUAUGUUAAUAUCUCUUUUGAGAGUAAGAACAACUGACUCUAGCACUACACCAAAUUAGGGAUAUAGCAGCGUUUGGACAAAAAACGCCACUAAAAAUCGAGCAUUAGCGGCAUUUUACGAAAAACGCCAUUAAAUAUCGAGCAUUAGCGGCGUUAAAUAAAAAACGCCGCUAAAACCAAGCAUUAGCGGCGUUUUACAAAAAGCGCCGCAAUAGAGGAAACCCAGAACGACGCCGUUUUCAGAUAUUUGGGAACAUUAGCGGCGUUUUUGAGUAUGCGCCGCUAAUGUAUCGGUCUUUCGCGCCGGUUUUGGACAAGCGCCACUAAUACUCCGUUCUUCAGCGGUGUUUUAAGGCAAGCAUCAGUAAAGUACCGGUCUUUUAGCGGCGUUUUUGUGUAUGCGCCGCAAAUGGUCUUAUCUUUGGCGGCAUUUUUUUUCAUUCACUGCAAAUGAUGCGGUCUAUAACGGCGUUUUUUAUAAAGCGUCGCUGAUGCUCUGGUCUAAAGCAGCGUUUUUGAAAAAGCGCCGCUAAUGCUGGUAUGUAUAGCGGCAUUUUUGGAGAAGUGCCGCUAAUGUUCAGGUCUAUAGCGGCGUUUGUGUAAAAGCGCCGGUAAUGCGUCGGUCUAUAGCACCGGUUGAUUAAUUGAAAUCUCUUUCAAAUUAAAACCCCAUUGUCGCAUUAACUCGAUCUAUGGAUUUCUCUGAGUGCUCCUUUAGAUCUUCUUCUAAUUGAUAUUUAUAGACAUUAGAAUGCUCAAAAAGCCUAAAAUUUUGGUUUUUCCACGUGUUUGGGAAACAGUGAGCGAUAUCGACAUGGGCUGGCACAUGGGCGUGUGGCCAACCUGUGUCAUUCACACGGGUGUGUGGUCAACCCGUGUGGAAAUGCUCAGGCCGUGUGGGUCCUGGAAAUAGCUCCAUUCGUCCGAUUUUGGCUCGUUUUUCUCUCCUUUCGCUCUCAAAUGCUCUCCUAAGUAUAGAAACAUGAAUUUAAAGGAUUAGGAGCAUCAAAUUCACUAAUUUACAUCAUUAAUCAUCCAAAAAUGUAUUAAGAAUGGGAUUAAAAUAUGUUACUUUUACAGCUUAUCAUUUGGUUAUCAGUUAAUUUAGUUCGAAAUCUGGUAAUUAACCGAAUUAACCGAAUUAACCGAACUUAAUAAUUAAUAAUACAAAUUAUAUGUAGUCUUAAUUCGGUUAAUUUGAUUAAUUCGAUCAAAUGAACAUUAUCAAUUUAUUUAUUAUUUAUAUGUUUUAUACUUAUUUUAACCCAAAAAACAAAAACAUAAAAUUUUCGGUUAAUUCGGUUAACCAACCAAAUUAACCAAAAUAUUUCAGCUCAAUUAAUUUUUUUUGAAAAAAUUUCGGUUCGGUUAAUGGUUAAAAGAUUAAAAAUUUUAGUUAAUUCGAUUAAUACUAGUUCGGUUCGGUUAAUUAAACAGUUAACCGCUUAAAUACUCCUAACCACAUCACCAAUUUUAGUGGGGGAAUUAACUGAGGAGUCGAGAUUUUUAAAUAAAAAUAAAAUAAAAUGACUCACUAUCUUAAAAUUAAAAUAUAAAAACUAAAUUUAAAAUUUUUAAAUAGUAAACCAAGAAAUAAUUAUAUACAAAAACUAUCCCCUUCAAAUCCACUACUUUAAAAACUAUCAACUUAGAAAAAACUAACUACAAAUAUAAUAUUUUUCAUUAAUGCAAAUAUAAUUUUUCACCCACCGAGUGGGUGCCAAUAUAUCUAAUAUGUGAAAACUUUAAUCAAUAUUUUAACAAUUUGAUGGAUAAUUGAAUUAAUCAGAUUACAAUUGAUUUGACUAAUUCACUCGUCAAUUUAAUAAUAAUUAAUUAAUUAAGCUUAAAAAUCUAAUUUUUUUUUUCUAAAUUGUAAGCUCAAUUCAACUGUCAAAUUUUUAUUUUUAUUUUAAUUUUUUUUUUCUUAGACGGUUCGCUCAAAAUCGACUAAAUUGAUAAAUAAACCAGUAUUAUCAACCUGAAUUUAUUACUUUAUUGACGAAAAAAAGAAAAAGAUAAAUGGCGUGCGGCAAUAGUGGAGGGUGACAAUACCCCCAAAAUGGAGAAGACACCAAAAACCAUUCAAUGGAGAAAGAAAUUGCUUGGUUCCUUCCCAUGCAAACAAUACGUAGUGACCAUCCAUCCAUACAUAUAUAUGUAUAUAUAUAAUAAAUAAUACCCGUACUUUCUUUUGCACAUUAUUAUAUCAAAUAAAAAACCCUCAAGUAACCUAAUUAAAGUUAAACCGAUGGUCGCAGUCUCCAUUAAUUUAAGCUUCAAAACAAGCUUUUUCGUCAUUAAAUUUUGACCCAAGUUGGUGAAGUUAAGUAAUCAAUAUUCGUAUAUUAACGUGGCGUAUAAUCCUCUAUUCUUUGCGCAUAUAUAUAUAUAAGAGAAAGUAGUUGUGAAGCUGAUAAACUGCCUUGUUCUUGCAUUAGAGAAUAGUCAAUCCAAACCAUAACUCUGUAGCCUUAAAUUCUCACAGUCCCUUUCAUUUUCUCUCAAAUCAAGGGGAAAAAUUAAAUAAAACCCAAGUUUUUGUUUUGAUAUUUUGUAUGCAAAAGAUGGUUAUGGAGAACUCAAUUGUUUCUGAGUUUGAAGGGAUUCUUUUGAAAGACUCGGACCCUUUCUCCUACUUCAUGUUGGUUGCAUUCGAAGCCUCGGGUUUAAUCCGGUUCGCUUUGUUGCUGUUAUGUUGGCCGGUGAUUCGGUUUCUCGAUGCGUUGGGCAUGGGUGAUGCGGGGUUGAAGUUGAUGGUCUUUGUUGCAACGGCGGGGCUUCGGGUGUUGGAGAUUGAAUCGGUGUCUAGAGCUGUUUUGCCUAAGUUUUUUAUGGAUGAUAUUGAUAUGGAGGCUUGGAGAGUGUUUAGUAGGUAUGAUAAAAGAGUUGUGGUGACGAAAAUGCCUAGGAUUAUGGUGGAAAGGUUCGUGAAAGAGCAUUUACGAGCCGAUGAGGUUGUUGGAAGUGAACUUGUGGUGAACCGAUUCGGAUUUGCUACAGGUUUAGUUAAUAGUGAUAUCGGUUUUAUCUCGAGUAAAGUCGCCAAGUUGUUCGUAGACGAUGAGCCUAGUUUAGGACUUAGAAGAGCUACGUCAAGCUUUCAAUUCUUCUCCAUAUGCAAGGUAAGAAGUUUCAUGCAAUGUGUUUAAAUCCAUGGCAUUUUAUAUUUUUUAAAUAAUUUGAUCCUAACCAUUAGAUUAUUGACAUGCAGAAACAAAUGCACUCACCAUUUAUCACCGACGAAAAUUGCGACGACCACCAACUCCUUCGUCCAGUACCCGUAAUCUUUCAUGACGGUCGUCUCGUGAUGCGGCCAACACCUUCGACCGCUCUAUUAAUCCUCUCAUGGAUGCCAUUGGGCAUAUUACUAGCAAUCAUUCGAAUUAUUAUCGGUGUAAUGCUUCCGCUGCGAAUCAUCCCCUAUGUGACCCCUUUAUUUGGCGGAAAAAUCAUUGUCAAAGGCAAACCACCAUCACCCAUCUCUGGUAGCAGCUCUGGCGUCCUAUUCGUUUGCACUCAUAGAACUUUAAUGGACCCUGUGGUCUUAUCCACUGUCCUCAUGAGAAAAAUCCCAGCAGUCACAUAUUCCAUAUCGAGAUUAUCUGAAAUCCUAUCACCUAUACCGACGGUAAGAUUAACGAGAAUCAGAGAAGUCGAUGCCCAAAAAAUUAAACACGAACUAUCCAAAGUUGACUUAGUAGUUUGCCCUGAAGGUACAACAUGCAGAGAACCCUUUCUAUUAAGGUUCAGUGGUCUAUUUGCCGAAUUAACGGACCGAAUAGUCCCGGUCGCCAUGAACUAUAGGGUAGGGUUUUUCCACGCAACCACAGCCGGCGGGUGGAAAGCUUUGGACCCGAUCUUCUUCUUCAUGAACCCUAGACCUGUUUACGAAGUGACAUUCUUGAACCAGUUGCCGGCGGAAGCUACGUGUUCGUCAGGUAAAAGCCCGCAUGACGUCGCUAAUUACGUGCAAAGAAUCUUGGCCGCUACGUUAGGGUUUGAGUGCACAAAUUUUACAAGGAAAGAUAAAUACAGAGUAUUGGCUGGGAAUGACGGAACAGUUUCAUGCACUUCUCUUGUUGAUCAAGUUAAGAAGGUGGUGAGCACAUUUAAACCUUUUCUUCAAUGAAAGAAAAAAAAAUAUUUUUUUGUUAAUUUAUAGGAAUAAAUUUAAUUAAUUGUGUUUUUUGGGGUUGUAAAUUAUUGAAUUUGUUUUUUUUUAAUGGAAUUGUUGAAUAACUUGUAAGGAUGAUUGAUGUUAAUUAAGUUUAUAUUUGUGGUUAAUGUUGUUGAUUGUUCCAUUGGAAUAAAUUUCAUAUUAAGAAUUUUAUUUUGUUGUUGUAAAUUGUAAUCACCUUCUACAUGUUCUAUAUAUGUUAAAUGGCAAUUAAACAUGUUCAAAGAGUCAAGUUACAAUUUAUCUGUUUAAGCUCAAAAUUUUGUUGAAACAAAAAUAUUAAUUUAACCAUUAGAGGAAGAAGAUUGAAGACGACGAGAGUUGGUCAUUCUCACGUCUAUUGCGUUUCUCUUUAUUCUUCCACGCACGGAAGCUUGGGAUGGUCCAAAGUGUAGGUUGCACCACAAUUUUAAGAGUUAAUAGCAACACACAUCCCCAAAUCAUGAUUUUCAUUUUAAAUUGGUUUUUAAAUUUCAAACUGUUCUAAUUACAUUCAUAAACUAUUGAUGUCAUAUCAAUCAGGUUCUUCCAGUGGCAAAUCUAGAAAAAUUUUUAGUAUGGGACGAAAUUUUAAUUAUAACUUUUUCAUAGAUCAAAAUAUAAGUUUAGUACGUAUUAAUUUAUAAUGUCAUUAUUUUUGAAGGGGCUAAACUUUUUUUUUAUUUUUAGGGAGAUAAAGUACAAUUUUACUAUAUAUUAAUUUAUUAUUUAUUUUAAGAGGAUUGAAUUGAAUUUUUUUAUUUUAUUUUUGAGGGUCAAAGUGCAAGUGUGGCUCAGAGCUUCAACAAAGGCUCUUUUCUGAUAAUUUUCAAGUUUGAUUAUCUUCUAAUCUAUGUUGUCAUUUGAGAUUGCAGGAUCGUGUAGUUACUUGGUCAUCCCUUUUUGGAUUUAUAGUCUGGCGCAUCUGGAAGAAUAGAAAUCUUUUUAUCUUCCAGAAUGUUACAUGGUCAACAACAGAAGUUGUUAAAGUCUACUUAGUUUGGGCUCAACAAUUCGAAUUUCAUCAUAAUGGAUACAAGAGCAAUACUCUGAGUCCAAGUCAUAAUUCUCAUGCCAAUAGUACGUGAGUUUACUUAUUCACGGAUGGCGCAGUUGCAAGAGAUACGGGGAACACUUCUGCCGGAGGUAUACUACGGGAUCAACUUGGAAACUAGACUCUAGGAUUUAAUCGGUAGUUGGGCAAAUGUUCACCUUUUGAGGUAGAAUUAUGGGGCAUCCUGGAUGGGCUCCUUGUUAUGCUUAAUAAAGGAUAUAGACGGGCAACAAUUCAGACUGAUAAUCUUGAUGUGGUCCAGGCUUUAACUGAUAUUAGGUUGGAGAUUCAGGUAUCACCUUACUUAGGAGGCUUCAUCGAAUUAUGAUAUCCAAAAGGCGAUGGCAAAUCAAAUAUGUGACUGAAGAACACAAAAUAGUCGCGGAUCGAUUGGCCAAACUUAGCCUAACGUGAAAGUCGAGCUUACAAGUUUUUGAUGUAGCCCGAAAUGAAAUCCUUGAGGUCUUACAACAGGAUAAAGUGUGUGGCGCUUUUAAGCAAUUGAAUUGAUGUAACUUGUCUUUUUCUUUUUGACCUAAAAAAACUUACACAAACUAAUAAAUAAUGUAUAAAUAUUAAUAAAACAAUUUUUGAAAUUAAACAUAAUAAUUAAUAAUACAUUUAAAUAUGAUUAAUUUUUAUCAAAAAAAUAUAUUUUAUUUACCAUAUUAUUCUCUUAAAUCUCAUGUAGAUUCUCUUAAAUCUUAUUCUUUUGUAUUCGUAAAUUCAAUUGAACAAUAAGAUGGAGUCAUCAGAACAUCUAGAUUUGUUAUUAUCCCUUUUAUUAUUUAAUCAAUUCAAUUAGUUAAUUUUUUAAAACAAAAAAUAAUUAAUAUUCAUAUAAUUAAAAUAAAUAUUAUGAUAUAAAUUUAUUUUGUAAUGCGACAUGAUUAUAUUUAGUACAUAUUAUAUUAGAUAAAAUAAUAUAAAUAAAUGUUUAAGGACAUAUAAUAUAUUAAUUCAAGUAUAAUUAACUUAUGAAUGUAAAAUAAUUAUUAUAACAUUAUGAUAUUACAAUGUAAAUUGCAACCUAAUCUCUAAAUAUGUAAUUAAAUCAACUAGACUUACUCUUACAGAUAAGAUUUUUUUUUUACUCCCCAAUUCUAAUUUCAAAUAAGUCGCUCUUCCUCAUUUGUUUCACUUUUCUUACCUUCUUUAUUAGUGAAGCUAUGAAGGGGAUUCUUCAUAAAUCUCUUUUGCCAAUUAAUAAUACGCCCAACUUAUAUGAUUAAUUGCACUUAAUUUUGAUAAAUACUUGAAUGAGAUGUCAUUAAUUUUUUAAUUAUAUACAAAAGAAAAACCUGGAAAGUCAAAAAAAGUAAGAGAUGCGGGAUGUUGUAAAAAUUUUGGGCCAAAGAACAAAGUUGAUAGACAAAGAUCUAUUUUGGGAUUUAUUUGUAAAAAUAAUAUUUUAAUUUUUAGUAUUUUAUCUUUUAAUAUUUUUAAAUAAUUCUUAAAUACUAGAUUAAAUUAUAAGAUUAGAGUUUUAUAUUUUUAAUAUAUACUAAUAUAUAUGCGUAGGAGAGGGGGAGAGUACUUUUGAACGGAGAUUUCAAUUACUAUUUGAAUUGCCGUUCCGUUUCUUUUUCAACUUUUCUUUUUUAUAUUAUUAUUUUAUUUGUUACUUAUAAAAAAAAUCU
This 73506-nucleotide long non-coding RNA is filed under the name Gossypium barbadense (sea-island cotton). RNAcentral describes it as "long non-coding RNA (GBAR_LNC020407)". The record is from RNAcentral. Lineage: Eukaryota; Viridiplantae; Streptophyta; Magnoliopsida; Malvales; Malvaceae.